UUAAAAGAUGGGAUUGAAGUAAUACUAUUAUUUUGAAGAUUAUUAAUUGAAAAUAUUUGAUGUAAUCUAAAAUUUUUAACUUUAAAAUAUAAUAAUAAAAGCAUAAUUGAAAACAUGCCGACAAAUUAAAAGCAAAUAGAUAUUUCAUGGAAAGAAUCUUAUUGCUGCACAAAUUGAUUAGAACAACACAUGAGAUGAGCAUCCCCAACUUUACUUUUCACCUUUUUUAGUAAAUUAUAAAAUAAUCCAUCACAUGAUGUAACAUCAUUAAAUGAUGAUGUGUCAUCCCCAUCAUUCACAUCAUUUUAGCCACCAAAGAUUAAAGAUUAUAAUUUCCAACAGCCCACAAAUUUCAUAAGAAAAACACAGAUAAUUUAAUGUGCAAUUCAUAACAGAAAAAAGAUUAGAAAGGGGACCACCGCCACCGGUGGUAACUUAAAAUGAUCUGUUUUAUAGCUUGGAGACUUGCAUCCUGCCAACGCCGCCGGUGGUCUCGAAAGAGAUUGUCGAAAACAGAAGUUCACAAACAACAACGAAAGCACUAAAUUUGAUAGCGAAGAAGGAAGCCCGAAAGCCAUCUCCCAUAACCAAAUCCCAUCAACCCAUACCAUCUGCUAACUAUCAAAACCCUCCACCACCAUCCAUCAUCUUCAUUUCAUCCACUAACAUCUUCACCACUACCAUGACCUUAUUCAUGACAAACCCAACAACACCAUCCCUCACCAAAUAAACCCAUGUUUAAAUCAAUCAACAACCCAACCACACAACAAUUAAUAAGCCCCAAAGAUUAGACUUGCAACAAAGAAAAAGGGUAUCAAAGAGAGAGAAAAAGGGAGGAGUUAGAUUCGGGUCAAGGGGUCGGAGGUACUCCGGCAACUUGCUUGCCAAUCCUAACAGUCAGGAAGGAGGUAUCGGUGAGGAGGAGCACAUAUCAGAAAAUCAGGCCGAUCUAACGGCCGAUGACGGAGAUUCGGUCUUGGGUAGUCCAUAAGUUGGGGGUUUUUUGAGAUGUUUUCGAAAGCUCUAAAUCGAGACAUGGGUAGAGGAGGAAGAGAUCAUUUUGAUGGCCUCUGAUUGGAGCUCAUAUGGCGGGUUCGACGGCGGCAGCUACAAUUGUAAAGGGCAGACAAGAGAAAAGAAAGGUGGGAGAGUCAUGAGAGUAGUGAGAAGCAAUAGAAAGACUUAGAGAAAAAAAAAGGGAAAUAGAGUAAUUUUUUUUUUUAAAAUGUUACAAAACAUGGGUAAAUUAUGUGGUGAUGACGUGGCUAAUAUAUAAACUUUUAGUGGUCUAAUUUGUGUCACAUAUAAGAUCACUAACUUCAAAUAAGGACAGAGUAAUUAAAAAGUUAGUAAUCAAAUAAGAUGGGGAUGUAAAUCUCAGAGCUAUGAGAGGAUACGAAUAGGUGUAAACCUGAUUAGUCGGAAGGGUGAACAAUUGGUCCUUAGCUUCCCAAUACUUGGAUCUUUUGGACUUGGACCUUUCUCUCCGUUGAGGUGGCAACUAUUGAAAAUUCUGAUAAUAAGCACCGUAAACAGAUCAUAGACUUCCAAGUGUAUUGUUCAUUACAUUUUGGAGAAAAGCUGUCUGACUGCAGUUCUGGUCGAUACCCAUUUAGGUCCAACUCUUGACUUCAUUGGAACCAAAACACUGGCACCUACAAUCCCCAACUCCAACACACCAAGUGCUGGUGGCCACAGCCCGUUAAAUGUCGCUCAGUAAUCGCUGCUGCAAUCAAAGGAUCCAUCGAAUACAUGAAUAGCCACCAUCCAAAGAUAUUCUCACGUUAAGCUUACUAGCAAACUUUAGCUCCUGCACCACAUCUCCACCUCCCUCUAGAUUGUACCAUUUUGCACCAACUGGUUCAGGCAGUCACCUUAUGUAGACCUCGGAUAGAUGAAUCAUGCACCUUCCGAGGCUAAUGGCUAAUUUCCUCAUUAUUUUUAUCUACCACGGUCAGAACCAAAAGAUCAUAGAAGGGCUCUGCUGCAACAAACAUCAAAUCUUCGUUCCAUCUAGGAUUGAAUGACUUGUCUGCCGAAACUCUAGUCCUCAACUUCACAUUCCCAAGAGUUCCCUUGACAUAAACCUCCGAAUUCCGAUUCUUGUCUCAAGGCACUACCAAAUCCUGCGCUUCAAUUAUAUUGACUCUAAGAUACCAAAGUCUAGGUGAAAGGUAGACCUUGGAACAAGUAUUCAUAAUGCUGUCACCAGUCCAGUAACAGUGACUACAUAUGAAUGCCAUGCAUCAAUGAACACUUCAUCAGCUUGUGUCCCGAACCAAAUAACCAACAUCAACUCACUUACUGAUAAAUUGGCCUUGUCCAUGUCUUUGUCCUCCAAUUUAUACCACUCUGGGGCAAGUGGACUAUCCAGCGGAACUUGAGUGCGAAUGUCGGACACGUUAAUCGCAAUCUUACCUAUAAACUCAUUGUUUACAAAUUCCUUUCUUUUCUCUCACUGGGAUCUCCACAGGUAACGACUGAAUUCGAUCUUUUGUGAAGGCAAACACUUGGUUCCAUUCUGGGUUUGGUUUAUUCAUCUCCGAGUACUAGGUGCUCCCCUUAUAGUUUCCAAUCUUCAUUUAAACGGGUGACAAGCAUCACCACCGGCGUUGUUCUUCCCCCACCAAUAUUUGGCUUGGUCUCCUUCAAGGAAAAGCCUUCCUUCUCUUCUGCCGGCAUCCUGCAGUUAUUACCAUGUGCUGUAGUAUUGCGCCAUAAGCGUUUCGAAUAAGCACGCAUAUAUAUAUAUUAUAAUUUGCAGUAUUCAUUAAUGUUUUGAAUCGUUACUUAUAUAAAUUGAGCAGCUUUUUAUAACGUAAGAAUCGAAAGAAAAAAUAAUCUAUAAUUUUGGCGCUGAAAGAACUGCUUUAAAACUAUGUAACCCUAAAGCCUAUAGAAUAUAAAAAACAACCAAAAGAUCAUAUGACUAAAAAUAAUAAUUGUAUACUAAUAUUGUAAAAGAACAAGAGCUCAAGAACACAAAGGAAAUUGAUUUAAGUGACAAAAAAUAGAAAAGAAGCAAAAGUUGAAGGAGGCAAACCACAAAUUAAGCUUAGGGUUUUUCUUUUUCUAACAUAAUCAUAAUGUAAGAUACAAAUAUAUAGCUACAAAGGAGUUAAAUAAAUUUGGAACCUGUUUUUAAAAAAGAAGUUAGUGAAAAAAAAAAAAAAAACUCCGUUUCAUCCUCACUUUAAAAAAUCUCUAACGAUUGAGAUUAAAAAUUGGCAUGGAUGGAUGCAGCAAAUCAAGCAAAAAUAUCCUCAGUAAGCAAUGAUUGUUCAAAAUCACCAGAAUUUGUAGAGGGCACUUGAAGCUGUUCAUAGUUGAGCUGUCUUGAAGCUUCAUACACAGCAAUACCAACACUCACAGAGAGAUUCAGACAUCUAACAUACGUCUCAACCAUUGGAAUCCGAAUGGUUCCACCACCAAAAGUUUCACUUUUGCAAUCUAACAACACAUCAGGAGGCAGGCCACAAGUUUCUGAGCCAAAUAUCAAAUAAUCACCUUUUCUAUACGAAAAGUCCUGCAACACACAAUGUCAAGUUAUAAUUAAAACUAACCCUUAGGAUGCAAAAUUAACUUUAUCAUAGUCAUUGGUCGCCUAAGAGCAUAAUUUAACCGGAGCAGUCCAUCUACUAUAAACAUGAGCAAUUCAGUUUUAAAGUAAAUGGGUAAAAUUUCAAAUGAAAAUAACCUUAAAUAGUUAAAAAUGCUUAUUUUCAUGUUUUCAAAAACCCAAAAUUCUAACAUUUUUUAAAACAUGAUAACUACUAAAUUGCUUAAUUCUUUUCAUGUCACUUAAAACACAAUAAAUCAGCAAUUUUAAUGUUCAAAGUUAAAAUUGCUUACGAUUUUCCUAUUUGCUUUAAAUUUAAAUGUACAAGAACUAGGUUCCUCACUUUCAUAGUAGAGUGACUGAUUUUGCUCCUAAGCCUAUAGUGCAGAGACCAGCUAGUUAGUUAAGUUUAACCUAAAUUUUCCGACUCUCCUUUUAUCUCGUCAAAAAGGUAAAGAAACAAAUUCAGUGUCAUAUUUUCACAUUCAUUCUCUUGCAGUUGCAGUGAAUUCAGUGAUUUUCUAGUUACAGAAAAUUGUCAUUUGGUAAUGAUAAUCAAAGUUAGAACAGUUUAUUCCAAGUCAUGAAAGAUUGGAACACUCGUUGCAACCAAGAACAGACUAGCCCUUGUUUGAAUUCAUUGACAACCAAUGCCUCUGCAUGGUUCCAAAGAAUUAUAAUAAGCACCAAUAUAGUACUUAGAUGGCUAUCGUCCAACAUAGGAUAAAUGCAUAGAUAGAUCAACUUUAGCACUUUGCUUGACCUCUUUACAAGAUAUUUAAAUGAGGGCCAUAAAAGAUUUAGAGACUCUAGGCUGAAUGUUUAUCAGGAAACUUAAUAGUAUGUUAAAGAUUGCAACCUAAGUGCUAGCAAUUAACAGUAACAUAAAACAUAAGGUGGAAAAGAGCAUCAAGUGAUGAUAGCAAGACAAAGAAAAAAAAGAAGAAGAUAAUUCUAGCAUUCCAAAUGGUCAUAUCAUAGAGUAUAAAAAGAAAGAAAGCAUACUGAAUGAAUUGCUGUUCCUCUUUUAGUAAAAGCCAGCAAACGCUUAUCCCCUUCCUGUAUCAUAGGAACAAAUAUAUUUGGAGGAAAUUAAUGACAAAAGAUACGGAACAUUUCUAAUCCAUUGUUGGGACAGGAAGAGAAAAAACCUGUUGCUUGAAAUAGUUUUGAAACUCCGCCCAUGAGCCAUGUAUUCUAACAACAACAUAUCUGACAUCAAGUUAUUGGUCAAAACAGGAGAGUAGGAGAUAUUUCAGAGUUGUAAGGAAAAUGAAGUGGAUCAAAUGCGAUUUGGGUCAAUCUUUGUAAACUAUGCUAAAUGGGAAGCCUUUGAGGCUAUAAUUUAUAUAUGAAAACUUGUUUGCGAGGAUAGAAAAAUAUAUGCCAAACUGUACUAUGAACUGAUGAACAAUUAGGAAGUGCCCAAUUUGAAUAGAAUCUUAAAUUGAAAAUAGAGAGAAAGGGUGUCCAUGCAUUUCAUUCAGCAGGAAAAAAGGUAUCUAAAGAACACAAAUAUGGGAGGAUACGGCCAGUAAUCCAGUCCAGCACGUUUUAAUUUAGUAUCAUCCACUUUAAAUCCUAAUGGCUGAAAAAAUACAACAGCAGAAGCAUCUUAAAUAAAAGGUCAAGGUUGGCAAAAAUAAGUAAAGUAAAACAAAAAAGAGAGAAGAGAAGAGAAGAGAAAAAGAUACCCCAACAAGGUGAAGGGCAACAGCUGAGGCAGCGCAUGUUCUUGCAAUGCAACCUGCAUUUCCAGGAAUCUGAAGGGAUGGGCAAGGGCAGAAAAGGGAAAACAAUUAAGUAGAGGUGCUUGUAUAUGAGCUAAAACACGUUAAAGAUGAAAAAUACAGUAGAUACCUGAGGAGAAACUAAGACGACUUGAAGCAAUUUUUGUUGGGGGUCAGGGGCAGGCAGAGAGUUGUUCCCAUUUCCUGUUUCAACUUCAGCAACAACCCAGCCCACAAAGAAAGAAGAUUAAGAAAGGCAGUGAACUUAAUUAAUUAAGAAACUUAAUUAAUUAAGACCAAAAAACAAGCAUAUAUACAUAUAUCAGUGGAGAGAGAAAAGGGUCUUACUCUUAGUCUUAGUGUGAGUGUCAGCCCUGGUAUUAGAGAAAGAAGAGAGGCGUGGUAUGCGUAGGGAAGAAGGGCGAAAGUUUGGGAACAAAGAAAGAGAAGAAGUAUUGUUAAUAUGUCUUAGGCUUUGAAGAAGAUGGGAUUGGGAAUAAUAUGGGACUGCUCUCAUUCUUGCUCUUACGCUCAAAAGAGAGACAGAUACCAAUGCAGAUAAAAUGCUACACCUAUUGGGUUUGACCUUUCUUUCUCUCUGGGUGGGAUCACUGGAUAACUUCACUAAUACAUAUUACUUACUAAUUACUAUCACUAAGUAAAUAACCCAGUUUUUCUUCUUCUUUUUCUCUUUAACCCUCUUGGCCUUGGCCUGCUACCUUUCCUAAUGUCCUCCUUCCUUUAUAAAACUAAAAAAUAAAAUAAAAUAAAGGGUUUUUCCCUGGUUGGAAAGGAAGGCUGGGUGGCUCAGAUCAAAACGACGAUUCCCUCUGCCUCUUCCACUCAAUCUUAACAAGAUACAGGUCUCCUUUCUUUUCUUUUUUCUUUGCUCAAUCGAGAGAUCGACUUGAACUUGGGCCGCCUCAUCCGCCAGAAGAGUUUAAGCAAAAUACGAGAGAUUCGAAAAAUAGAUUUAAAUGAAAUUUAAGAUCAUUUUUUUAUAUGGGUUAGAUUUUGAGUAAAUAUUUUUCUCCAGACCCAACCCAAUGUUAUAAAAUAAUAUUAUAUUAAUUAUAUAUAUUAAAUAAUAAUUAUAUAUAUUUAUAUUUAUAUUAAAUUAUUAAUUCAAUAAUUAUUGUACAAAAUCUAAGAAAAAUAAUAAUUUAUAUUUAGCUCAAUAAAAUAUUUAUUAUAUUUAUUUUAAUUUUUUAAUAUAAUAAAACAUUUAAUAUAAUUAUUUUUUAAUGUGUUAAAAAAUUAUUUUAAUCUUUAAUUAGAUAAUGAAUUAAUAUUUUUUUUCAUCUAAAUUCUAUUUAUUUUGAGUCAGAUAGUGUUGGUUGAGUCUAUUUUACCAUUGCUCUAGUACUAAUUUAUGUUAUCUAUUUUAAAAUAAAUUGUAUUGAUAUAACUCCUUCAUUAAUUUUUUUAUUCAUUCAUUUUAGAAUACCAAAUGAUUUUCUAUCUUUUAACUAGUGUAUUAUAUUUUUAGAAAAAUUAAAUAUGAAUAAAUCAAGUCGGACUGAAUUUAUUUUUUCUUAAAUCAGAAUAAAUUUAAACAAAAAAAAUAAAUCUAUUUUUUAAGCUAGACCUAGACUUAAAAAAAAUAAUCUAAAUACUUUAUAUAAACCCCACCCCACCCCAACCCAACCCAUCAGCGGCUAGAUCGACUGCGUCCCUUUUAUCCUGGUCCGAUUGGUAACCUGUAAAAGCUUUUCCGUAAAAGAUUUUCAGGCUUUUCUGAUGUUUGGUUGCUUGAAAAUGAUUUUCCAGGGUAAAAUGUUUUACAAAACACAGGAAAAGGAGGGCUUUUUUUUAAGGAAAAUGUCUUACUCUUUUGAAAUUGGUAAGACAUUUUCCGGAAAUUGACACUUCUUCUCCCCUUUCCCCUUCCCCUUCCCCUUCCCCUUUUGAAAUCGGUAAGCCAUUUUCAAUGUUGAAGAAGCCAUUUUCAAUGUUGGCUUAUCUUAGGCCAUGACUGAGACGAUGGCUUGAAACCCGGGUAGAAAUAAGACCAAUCGAAAACCUUGGAAGCAACAAAUCACAAGGGCAUAAGCUGUUGAAUAAGCUGUGGGUCUUGAGGCAGAUGUGGCAUCUUUUGAACCACCGGGGAAUCAGAUGUGGGUCUUGAGGCAGAUGGGGCAUAUUUUAAUACUUCCCACCAUGGUGGGCGUUGCAGAAAUAGUGGACUUUUGUGAUUUUCUAUCCCCUACUCCCGAAGAGCAAGCAGCACGUGAUGCAGCUGUGCAUUCUGUUUUUGAUGUUAUCAAGUACAUAUGGCCUGCCUGCAAGGUAUGAUUGGCGGCCUCUCUUUCUCUCAUGCACAAAAGCACACACAUAUAAAGAUGCAUACAUAGUGUACAAUGCCAAAUGGUAAUGAGUUGUUGCUUUGCAGCCAGAAGUUUUUAAGUUGUUCAUGGUAGGGCUUUAUUUACCAACAAGUGAUAUUGAUGUGAGUAGUUUGCUUCAUUUUAUCCCAUAAGUUUAUGUCUCGCAACUCAAACUAUAUCAAUGUUUAAUCUUGUUAUAUUGUAGCUUGCAUCACAUGGUUGAUGGGUUUUUCAUUAGGAUUAUGAAAUUUAGUAUAUAGAUUUUCUAAUAUGGAAAGGAAAGAAAAACAAUAGGCAGAGGAAAGUUGACCCAAAUUUUUGUAUUUCUCCCCUAUUCUGUAUGACUGACAUUCUUAAGCCAUUUGUUUCCAUUUUAUGUAGGUAAUGAUUCUAGAGUCAGGUAUAAAAAAUCCACAGACUGGUUUGUAUGCUCUUUUCAGGGUAUUAUCUCAAAGGGGAAUUGCAAAAAAGAUACAGGUAUUUUAUUUUUUUGGAAAUUUUACAUAUACAAUAGAGUAUAUUUAGCUAACAAUUCAAUUCCUAUCAGGUGAUUGCAAAAGCUAGCGUGCCAAUAAUUAAGUUUGUAGAAAAGAAAAGCGGUGCCGCAUUUGAUAUAAGGUAGUUCUAUAUUCCUCUUGCCCUCUUGUUCUAGUAUGUUUUAAUCCAAUAUCUCAUCUAAAAUUCUCUUCACCUCUGAACAUUUCUGAAUUUGUUUUAGUUCUGGUAUGAAUAUCAUCAUAAAAGACACUGGAUUAAUAUGAAAUUUUAGCAGUGAGGUUUUUUGGAAGAUAUUAUGGUAGGACUUUUGAAUUGUCUUUAUUGUUUCCUUUGAGGUCCAUGAUAAUUGGGAGGUCCAAGUAAUUGGGAAUUCCAUAAAAAAAUUUAGUAUUUGGAUAUUAGUAGCGAAUGAGGCUAAAUAGUUUACCAAACAUAGAAAUUUUCUUUACUUUUUAUUUCAGGAAGAUGAGAUUGUCGAGAAUUCAUGAACAAGAAAUCUUGGUCAUUUUUUCUCUAAUCACAUAAACAAUUCACUUGAUUGAGAUUCCUAUUUUCUUGAAUUUUCUUGAUUGACAAGAUCUAAUGGGGUGCUUGGAAUUUGAUGAGGGUGGAGGCAUGUUUAGGUUCCUAAACUGACUUAUAGCAGAUGUGAUAAGUGCACCAAAGAAAGUUGUUUAUCUCCAUCUUGGCUUGAUGUGGCAAUUUAAAAGCCAUGUUUCAUAUUUUCUGUAGCACUUUUAUCUCACUGCUUAAUAUUUAAUUGGGUGUUCAAUAUUGCAGCUUUGAUGUGGAUAAUGGACCAAAAGCUGCUGAGUUUAUCAAGGUUUGUUACAAUUACAGACUUUCCUGUGCUCAGAUGUUUCAUUUGUUAGUGGUGCUUAAGAUAUAGUUAUUUUAAUCCCCUUUUUUGUCAGACGAAGUCAAUUAAGUUGGACCAUAGCCUCUUUCUUAUUAGGAUUUCUUUUGAGUCAAAUUUCAUUUUUGGCUGCAAUUAUUCUUGAAGAUUGUGCUCCUGUGUUGAGUUUGAUUGUUUGCUUGCUUUAUCUUCACCAAUGGGAACUACUGCUUAAUUUUCAUUUAUUUCCUAUGUCUACUUCUGGAUUUGUUGAUUAAAAUUGAUGUAAAUCAUUUUGGUUCAAUUAACUCAUGUUCCUCAAAAUUAGGACUUGUGUGGUUUUCCUGUGGUUAAUUAAAGCUCUGCUUCUUUAGUUUAUUUAUUUGUAUGUUCCAUAAACUUUGGACUUUUUUCUAGAUAUUUUCUUUGUUUUUUUCUAAAUUUAAACUUUGCUUAUGUGUUUUCUCUUAGGAAGCAGUACUAAAAUGGCCUCAAUUACGACCAUUGUGUUUGAUCUUGAAAGUAUUUUUACAACAGAGAGACCUGAAUGAGGUUUGAGUUUAUCUAUAUUGAUGAUCUGUUCGUUUUGUUUAAAAAAUAGUGUUCCUCUGUUCUUGAUUUGCAAUAUUUUUGAAACUAUGUAGGUAUAUUCAAGUGGAAUAGGUUCAUAUGCUCUCCUUGCAAUGAUCGUAGCCAUGUUGCAGGUAUGCAUUUUUGGAUUUUCGAUAAGGCAUUGGACUCUAGUUGGCUGAUCUAUCAGCAUAGUCUGUAUUCACUUUCAUGUCGAGAAUUAUAAUUUUUUUUCAACAAUUACAUUGAUUAUGCUAUAAUUCACUUAUGAGUCCACAUAAAUGUUAAAUGAACACAUACGUGCCAUGCUAUUUGCUCUCUCCGAAUGCAAUCAAAUCUUGUGUUUAUGAUAAACAACUAGUGGUUCUUACUGCAGAAAGUUUAGAGCGGUGGUUGAUGCAGCUUUGGAGGCCCAUCUGCACUGUCCGCAGCUAUAUCUUUAUAGCAUAGAUGAUAAGGUCGUUCCGUAUAACACUGUCCCCCUUCCUCUGUUGUCAGAACCCCAACAGAUGUGAUUUGUAGCUCUUCCCUUUAGCAUUGAUGACCAGCUCAAGGCUCGACAUUGCACGUUCUACAUGGUGGCCAUAGGCUAUUUCAGUUACUAGCCAACAGCUAGUUUUAGUUUUAAAGUUAUUUGGUGCUAGCAAUGCUUGCAUUGAGUUACUGAUGACAAACAUUUGAAAUAACAUGCACUAAGACGCAAAGACAUUGAGCAAAAGGGUAUUGUAAAUAUUUCAUUAAAGAGAUUUGAAAGAAGAAUGGAUAGUUCUGUACUUAUGUCAAACUUAUUUAUACAUGCUUUUUUUCUCUUCAUGUAUUUGGCAUUAUGGAUCUAUUUGUCAGAAUUCAUAAAUUAAAGCUAGUCCAAGAUUGUGAAUUUAUGGUUUAUGAAAUUUUCAAAGCUCUAUCUUACAGGACACGCGUUGAAGUACAGUAAUAGUUUUUGGUGCUUUGAUAGCAAAGGUUUAAAUAUUUCACAUUUUGCAUUGUUCUUCUCCUUUUUAUUUUAUAAUGUAUAUUCUAGCUUAAUAAUUGAAUAUUAUUAUAUAUUUAAUUUGAUUUAUUUAUCAUCGUAAUUUAUAUAAAAACAAUUUAAAAUAUAAAUUUAUUAAUAUAUGUAAAAAUAUCUUUUUCGGAAAAUAUUUUCAGGUAAUCUGCCAAAUAACAGAAAAUUAUACAGAUUUAUCCAAACACCAGAAAAGUAAAUUAUUUUCCAGAAAUUAUUUUUCGAAAAACAUUUUACUGGCAUACAAACGGAGCCUUAGUUUCAGUUUAUCUGUAUUAAGAAUGCUUUUAAUUGUUUUAUUUGGGCGUAUCGGAUGCUACCCAUGCUUCAUAUCUCUGCUGUUAAUUUACGAAGAAUUAUGUCCAGCUAAAUGCUAAUGGUUUAUCUGCCCUUUGGGUUUUUGGAUGGAGAAAAGUCAAAUUGAAGUGUUGUUUAUCUGACUGAUCAGACACUGGUUAUCCUCAAGAACUGGGAAUUUAUCGAUGUGCCUCUUUAGUUCUCAAUUCUGCUUUUGCCAAAUGUGUGUAUGUUUUAUUUGAAGGGUGAAACAUUUUGUGUAAAUGUAAUACCAUCUCUUACUCUUAUUAUAAAUUCAGACCUUAAGACCCACCGCUGCAAUAUCUGAAUAGCUCAGAGCUUUUACUUAUCCAGCAAGUGUUGUUGGCUCUUUCCCCAUGGAGAAAGGAGUGCCAUCUAGCCUUUUUGUUAAUUAUGGUUCCUUUAUGGAGAGGUUUAAACAGCUUCAACAACAGAAGGAUGAAAAAGACAAGGCUGCAGCUUUAGAAGAAUCUAAACCCCCCAAAUUUGUAAAAGGGUCUUCAGCUUCCAAACUUGCCAUUGCCCCUAACAAAAUAGCCAUGAAUGUAAGCCCAGUGAUUCACAUAAGAACACCAAAAUUUCUUCCGGAGGCAAACUUGCAUUCAGCUUGAAGCAGAAACCAACGCUCGUGGCACCUCCUCUCAAGUUGGCUGCAGAUGAUGAGGAGGAGGAGGACCAAGCUGCAGGGAAGUUUUCGGAUGACAGACCACUUAAACGGAAAAAGUUGGGUCUAUCAGAUGACUCUGGACAAGGAUAAAAAAAGUGGAUGGUGGUAAUUUCUGCUUUUAUCUAUCUUGUUGUGUUGCUUUUUGUGACUUGGUAGUCCUUUGGGAGUUUACAUGCUUAGGCUGCAUGUCUGAUACGAUGCCAAGUUCGCAACUAGAAUGAGUUCGUGAAUAUUUGAAUUACUAAUCUAUAUUUGUUGUUAUGGGACUAGAUAAUAAUUGCUCUUUUCUCUUCUCAUUAAGAAACGUUUUAUCGGUGUCUGAGUAAAAUAGUUCCCUUAAUUAACUGCUAUGAUUUAUGAAGUCAUCUGGCGGUAAGUCUUCUCUGAACUGAAAGUGGUUGAGGAAAAGAGCAAAAUUUCUUGAAUAUUUCUCAUCUCGUGAAUGCAGCUUAUGCCUUAAGUACCAAACAACAUUGGUGGAAGGAGAAGUUCAACGAAAGAUUUGGAAUAUGUCGCCUGCCUGCUACAAGAGUAAUUUGCAUUCUCUUCUUCAUUCUCUUGGUAUUAAUCAGUUUUAUAAGUGACGUGCAGCACCUCCUUCCCCAACCGAUCCUAUUGUGAAGAAAGUUGCGGACAAACUAGCAAGUUUUGUUGCAAAAAUGGAUGGCAGUUUGAACAUGUUACACGUCAGAAAAACCCUGGAGAGACACCCUUCAAGUAUGUGCACUUUUGCAUCAUUUUUUGGCUCAUUAUGCUCUGUGCCUACGUGUAUGAAUGCAUUCUAUUUGUUCCUUUCUGCUUCCCUUUUUGGUUCCUAUGUUUUGUGUAUUUAAUAUUGUGGUCUCCAGGUUCCUUUUCGACGAGCUGUUCUGAUUACAAAUACUAUGAAUACCCGCUCGCUGAAGAGGAAAAAGCUCUUUUACGGAACAAGGACUCGCAAAGUGGUAUUAUUGUCUUUCUCCUGCCUUGGUCAUAAGAUUAGGUAGCAACACUUUGAGGUUGGCUGCUUGGAGAUCUAAAAGCAUUUUUUUGGGUUCUCUUUGAUGUGAAAAGUUUCUUUUGCCUUGUUUGCCUUGUUUCUUCACUUAUUCUGUUUCUACACCAGAUAAAAUAGAUUGAGGCACGAACAAUUAGGCUAGGAAAUGACUUCACAGAUCUUAACAAAUAUCAGAUUGUUGAAUAUCUAAAAGGGAUAUUUUUCAUCCUUCUGUACUGACUUGAUAAAUGCUUUAUCUAGGUGGUACUGGCAUUUCAGCUUCAAAAUCUACGAGCAUCUCCUGUAGAUCAGUUCUGCAGCAAUCAAGCUAUCCAACGCCUGCCUCUGCUUUGUAUGAGAACAAUGAGGAGCCUAGAUCUUCUUUGACAUCAGUAGGAAAAUCAAGUAAAUAAUGCAUGAGAUACUGCUGUUAGGUUCUUUAAGUGCUGCAUCAUCACCUUAAUUGGGGAAUGGACAAUUUUGUUUGCCUGAUAUUAUAUAUACAUUCAUUUCUAAGUUGCAGGUCCAUCCAGUGCACCACCAGCCGCUGAUCCUAUAACAAUGAUGGAGUUUUACAUGAAGAAGGCUGCUGAGGAAGAGAAGAUGAGACUGCCUAAGCAGCCUAAAGAUGAGAUGCUGCCACCUCCUCCUCUUCAAGGUGAAUUUUAUCCCUGAUUGAAGUGUAUUCUUUAUUUUGCUCCUUAGACACAUUGCUUUUAUUUUGCUGGCUUAGCAGAUGCUCCUAUUAAGAAAGGUCAUCACAUGGGUGAUUAUAUCCCACCCAAAAAGCUUGAAAAGUUCUUGGCUGCCUGCAAUGAUGCUGCCGCACGAAAGACUGCUAGGGAAACUGCAGAGAAGGCAAAGAUUUAAGCUGAUAAUGUUGGGCAUAAACUCUCAUCAAAAUAGGUUAGAAAGAAGGUGCUUUUUUUUAUCUUUACUCUCUCUUGUAUGCUUGGUCAGCCUGUGUUAACCCACAGUUUUGAAUUCUGUUUUAAAUACUGGUUUAAAUAAUGGAUUAUGGUAAUUGAGUUAUGAAAAUUUGCCAAAGAUGAAUGAUGUAAAUGUUUGUGGAAACUAUUAUUAGCUUAGCAGAGGUGACCUUGACCCUAUGCUCUUUCUGCAAAUCUGAAAUGAUUUAGUCCUUGGACUACUGCUGCCAACAAAAGAGAUACCUUUUGUUAUGAGGUGCAUUCAUUUUUCCCUUUGUGCAUGGUUUUCAGGGGAGGGAUUAGGGAGCUCUAAAAAUGGUAUUUCAGAUCCAAUAAUGGCUGGUGAUGUAAAGAUGUGCUCAUCAUCCAGGAGAGGUGACUCCAGAUGAUGAUAAAUACGAGCAGUAUAAGAAGCGGAUGAUGCUUGGUUAUCGAUAUAUUAGCAGAUUCUUUUUUCAUUUGAAAAAGUCUGUCUCAAUGGGAAAAACGUCUGUUAAUUUUACGUUGGAAUUUUUUUCUCAAUACUAAUUCCAUCAAAUGAUAUAAAUUGUUGAAUGUUUGGAACAGACAACAGUAUAUUAAAUUAAUUAAGGAAUUGAGACAGAAUAUGUGCCUAAACCAACAUGCGAGUUCUGGCCAUUGGGCUGCGCCACAAUUUAGCUAAAAACAACAGAAUUAUAGGAACACGCUUUUUCUGUGGCUAAACAGUGGCAUAGAUGUACUAAUAAUUAUUAUCCUUUGAUUUUUUUUUUCUUACGGAGUUAAGUCAUAAUUAAUUAAUAUAAGGUUAAAAUGUGCCACAUACUUUUUCGAAAAUUAGAAUUUUUUUUAAGUUUAGAUCUAAUUAUUAAUACUGUUAAUUUUUUUUAAAUUCAAGUUAAGUGAGAUUUCACAACAACAAAAUUUUAAAAAAAUUAACAAUGUUAAUAGUUGAAUUUGAGUUUUGAAUUUUGAAAAAAUAGAGAAAUUAAAUUUUAAAAAAAAUAGAAAUAUAGGGAUUAAAUUCUUAAUUUUCGAAAAGUACAAGAAUUUAUGACAUAUUUUAACCUUAUAAUUACUAAAAAAUAAAUAACCAAAUUAUUAAAAAUAAAAAUGCGAUUACAAUAAAUAUACGAUAAAUAUAGUUUACCUUUUAAGUUAUAUCAUAGGUAAUCCAUACAUAAUUAUCUACUAAUUUAUUUAAACAAAUUAUUAUUUAAAAUGUAAUUACCUUUGUAUUAUUUUAUGGUUCACCCAAAGGUCCCAAACUAUUACCCAAAUUUUAAAUUGGUCUAUAAAUUUCAAAACAAAAUGCUUAUAGUAUUAGUAUUUUAUCAAUUAAGUUCUUUCAUUAGAUUAUUUUUCAAUUCAAGCAUUAAAUGUUAGUUUGAAUUUGGCAUGAAGUAUAACAUGCAAAUCAAAUUAUAAACAUGUAUAUACCAACCCCAUAGACAAUUUAAAUUUAAUGUGUUAAAAAAAAGAGAAAAUAAUAAAAAAAGUUGAUAUUACACCAUCAAAUUUAAGCUCUCUAUGUCAUAAAUUUAAAGCAGGCAAUCAAUGUCGGAUGGAAGAGGAUUCAAUUAGAAUGUUAUAUAAGUUUGGGGACCAAAAGUCAAAAUUAGAGGAUGUAUAAUAAAAUUAACCCUUAGUUUAUUGUUGUUGGCAGAUAGUGAGAAUCCGUCGAGUAUUAUUAUUUUUUUCCUUCGACCCGGUCGCUACAAUGUCGAUUGUCCAAAGCUCUUGUGUUUUGCCUUGACUUUCCAAGAAAGUGGAAACCCCAAACUCUUUUUUGUCUCUGCUGUUUGUUGGUAAUAAGAGUCGUCCGUGAAGACUUGUUGUUGGAAGUUAGGGACAGGGUCAGUUCGCAAAUCCAGGUGUGGGUAGAUCGAGAAACUCUUUUUUGAGCUUUGCUGCCAACUGAAAUAGAAGAAAUGUCUAGUUUGCAAAGGGGUUUCGAUCAAAAGAUAGAUUACGUGUUCAAAGUGGUGCUAAUAGGAGACUCUGCUGUGGGGAAAUCGCAGCUCUUAUCCCGCUUCACAAGAAACGAAUUCAAUAUCGAUUCCAAGGCCACCAUCGGCGUCGAAUUCCAAACUAAAACUUUGCUUAUCGAUCAUAAAUCCGUCAAGGCUCAGAUUUGGGAUACUGCUGGUCAAGAAAGGUAUAUAAACUUUAUACAUACAAACCCUUUUCCUAUUACUCAUUUUUACUGCUAUUUGUUUAUGGGAAUUGGGACGAUGCCCUUUAUCAACCAUUAAACAUAUCUAUGUUGCUAAAAAGCUUGAGACUUUGGAUUAGAGGAUUGGUUUCUCUUUGAUUUCUGACUGUAUUUGGUCAGUCAUAAUUGAGCUUGAUAAUAGGUGAAACUAUGUAUAUAUAUAUAUGUACGGUAUGUAUGAUAUGUUGAUAAUGGUGGUUGAUGGAACACAGGUACCGGGCGGUAACGAGUGCAUACUACAGAGGAGCAGUGGGGGCAAUGCUGGUGUAUGACAUAACUAAGCGUCAGUCAUUUGAUCAUGUUGCCAAGUGGUUAGAGGAAUUGCGUGGACAUGCUGAUAAAAACAUUGUGAUUAUGCUUGUGGGCAACAAGUCUGACCUUGCCUCCCUUAGAGCUGUUCCCAUAGAGGAUGCUAAGGAAUUCGCCCAAAGGGAAAGCCUCUUCUUCAUGGAGACUUCAGCCCUUGAGGCCACUAAUGUCGAAUCGGCUUUCCUUACUGUUGUAACAGAGAUUUACCGAGUCAUCAGCAAGAAAAACCUGGUAGCCAAUGAUGAACAAGAAGAAUCCGGGGGUAAUGCAUCACUUCUCAAGGGAACUACCAUUGUUGUCCCUGGUCCCCAACCACAAUCUGGUUCUGGAGGAAAGAGUUUCAGUUGCUGUGCGUCAUCAUCAUAGCCAUAGGGGGAACUGAAUGAUACUGCUGAACCCUUCUCUAUGUGUUGUCUCUUCUUUCUAGCAGGUCUUUUUAAUCAUACUUUUAUAAAAUCACCCCUUCCUUGUGUGCCUGAUCAUGUGUAGAGUUUGUAUUGCAACACCCUUUCCCCUAGUUGAUUGAUAUAUAUAUAUACACACACUCACAUAGAGAGAGAGAGAGAGAGAGUUGUUUAGGUUUGUCUUCAAAAAUUAAAAAGAUGUAAUGUAUUGACAUUAAGAUUUGUCUUGUACUCUCUAUCUGACUCGAAAUCUUGUGUGGUUCUGAUUGGUUGGUUUAGCUGUCAUUGUUGCCAAACGGCUAAUUUAUUACAAUUAUACAAAGCAUUCUUAUUUCCGAUGUUCUGGUGUAAUGGAAAUAAUUGAAGUCUAUUAUCUAGUCUAGUCCAAGUCUAAGAUUUUGUUAAUGGUUUACGGCAGAGGGUUGAGGAGACAUUUCAAGUUUUCUGCUUCAAUAAAUUAACUGCCAUUGGUGAAUGGUGAUAAUUCCAUCCAUUCCGUCCAAGUCCAACUAUACCCAAAAAAAAGUUUCUUUUUUGUCUGAGGCUUUCCGGUAUAGAUAGCCACAUUAGAUUCCGACUAAAUUUAGAGUUGAACCUCUAAAGAAAGCAAAGUUCUUCUAUCAUUGUUUUUCCAUCCACAAGACUCGAAUACGAGAUAAACAGCAAAGUUUAUGAAUACAACAAGAAUAGCACUCUCCAAUAUAAGCAAAAGGGUUCCUAGGUUGUUAGUUGAUGGUUUAAAUUCAUCAAUAUAAAGUAUAGUAUCAUAGUUUGACAGAGAAAGAACACACAUGCAUAUUUAAAAGAAAAAUAGUGGCAAUGAACUGUCUAUUAUAAAAGGAAAUAUGCUUUAAUAUGCAACUAACUAAGCAAUCUUUUGAUAUAAUAUAUGGAUCUUUUCAUUUUUGUGCAAUCUACAGAUAGUACGAACAGGGAAAUGUUCUGAUGAGGAGCUCUGCACAAUUUUAUUCUUAAAGAAGUCAGACAUGCAUCUACUUCAUUGCAUCACCUGCGCAUGCAUCAGAAAAAAAGAUUUAUUACUUUGUUGAAAUAUGCAAGGAAAAAGAAUAUCAAGUGCUUGUAAAGAGGGUGAGGGGAAUGGAAGAAUACAUGGUUCGAAGUUGGCAGUACAUUUCUGAGGCAGCUGGCGGGCCAUGUUCCGAUCCACACCAGUUAUGGGAGGACCAUUAGCAAGAACACACAGACAAGGUUGCCCCAGAGCUUUGAUGGCAUUGCAGCAAGUCUCACUUGGUGGAAUACGGCUAAAGGGAGCAACUGCUGCUCUGCAGGGUAUUAACUGCACCAGUGCUGACAAGAAUGUGCUGUGACAAGUGGUGCCCUCGCCUUGUUCCACCAUACCUGUAAGGACCAACACAAACACCAUAAAAGGCACAGCCUUGGACUUGGUGUUGGAGUUGGACCCAAAAAGAAGCAGUAGCAGCUUCAUAUUUGAUUUUUUGAGCUUAUCUUUAUCUCCACUCCCUUGGAAUAUUGGAAAUGCUUAGACUUCCCUCUUUCCUCUUACAAGGACUAUAUGUUUCACACUUGCACUUCAACUGCAGGUGUCUAUAUAUCUAUAUAUACAUACAUGAAUAACAGUCAUUCCAUGUCAUGUCAUGUCAUAAGGUACCUCUAUCCUAACCACAUAUCACACAGUUCAUGCCAUCAUCUCGCUUAAACUUCUUGCAGUGAUGAAACUGAAACAGUUAGUAAACCAAACUGUCAGGACCUUUUUCUUGCCUAAACUUGUGAAAAAAAGAGUUCAGUGUCUGAAGCAUGGCUUUCAUGUCAAUCACAGUAGUGAAUUUUGGUUUGCAUGUGCCAGCCACAUGAUAUAAAGUUACUUCGUCUCCUUGAGUUGUUUCUGAAUUCUAGUGCUAUACGUUCUUGAAAAUAAUUCAAUCUAGUGGCAGGGGAGAACCCCCCCGGGGGGGGGGGGGGGCUAAACUAUAAAAUUGCUAUUUAGGUCCUUACAAUUUUUUAAAAUUUAAAAUUAGUAAAGGUAAAAUUUCAUUUUGACCCCCCUAAAAUUAUAAAAAUUUAAUUUAAUCCUGUACAAAUUAUAAAGAUAUAGACUAUAAAAAAUUAAAAUUUCAUCUGCCCUAAAAAAUUGUUCUAACUUCGAUUUCAAAAUAAUUUUAAAAUAUUAUAAUUAUUUAAUUUUUAUUAAUUAUAAAAAAAAAUUUAAUUGCUCCUAUUGUACGGGUUGAUUGUAUGUAUCAAUUAAAUAUAUUUAAUUAUUUCUUAAAUUUUUUCAUAAAUUUUAUAAUAUUUUAUUCGUUAUAAAUUAAAACAUAAUAAUAUAUAAAGUUUAAUUGUAUAAAUAUGAUAAUUUAUAUUACAUUGAAUUUAAAUAAACAAUAUUUGAAAUUAUUUUUACAAUAUAAAUAUUACAAAAAUAGAUGGCAUGAAAUUUUUUUAUAUAUAUACUUUCUAAAUUAAUUUUAAUUAUUAAUUAGUGAAUGUAGAUUGUUAAUUAAUUUUAAAUAUUGUGACCUCUAAAUAAUUUAUUGUAACGUUAUUUAUAUUUUUAAAUAUUUAUUUCAAUUUUAAUAGUGUAUUUAAUUUAUAAAAAUAGUGAUAAACUUUAAAAAAUAUUAAAUAGUUCCAAAAUUUAUAUUGACUUAUUAUGUAAAAUUAUAAAUUAAAUUAUUAAAUAUAAGUAAAUUACAAGAACUUAUUAUAAAGAUAUAACUUAUAAAAUACCAUUAAAAAUUAUAUAAAAGGGCACAAAUAUUUACUUUCUUUCCUUGUUAAACUUGCAUAAUGUGAACACAUAAAAAUCUUAUAAUAUAGAAUAUUUAAAUUUAUUUUUAAAAUAUAAAUAUUAUUGCAACAUAUAUGACUAGAAAUUAGAUAUGGAUUUUAUAUUAAAUAGCAAGUUAUGGUAUACCAUUUAAAAAAAAAUUGUCAUGACCCACAAAUUUAUCAUUUAAAAAUAAAAGAACAAAUAAAUUUUAAUGGAGUCUAAAUACUUAAACAAUCAACAAGUAAAGGGAUAAACAAAGUAUUUUAAGUACAUUAAUUAAAAAUAAACAAAAACAAGUUUCAUAUAGAUAAGUACAAACCGAUUUCCAAAGUGAUAUGUGGAUCUAACCUUUUAAAUUUAUAUUUUUAAGUUAAUAAUUAGUUUAAUUGAUAUAAUUAAACUUAAAUCUAGUUAUUUAAAUUUUCAUGGUAAUAUUUAAAUAUUUUAUUAUUUAAUCGAACUAAUUAUUAACUCAUAAAAAUCUAUACCAAUUUAUAUAAUAAAUUAUUUGGUAAUUAUAAAUGUGUACAAUUAAUUACUAUUAAUAACACAAAUAAAAAUGUUUAAAGGUAUAAAAAAUAAGGAUUAAAAAGAAAUUUUUAAAAGCUUAAAUUACAAUUUAGCUCCCGUAAGAACUAAAUUUUUAGGGAUUAAAUCUUUUAAAAUAGUUAAAUAAAGAUCAAACUUUUUCUAAUAUUCUUAAAUAAGAGAGUUUCAAAUGAUGUAUAUCAUGUUUCAAAUUAUAUUUUUAUUUUUAAGUCAUAUCUAACUCAAUGACAUGCUUUAUUAUUAACACAUCAAUAUUCACCUAAUUUUGUACUACAAACUAGAGUGAAGUGCAUUAAAAAUUCAUUUAUUUAAGCACAUUUGAAAAUGUUUGGCCCUUAUGUAAGCAACCUUAAGGUUUGACUCAAUUUAAGCAUUGACAUAAUGAUUUUUUUGCCCUUCAGUUUUACAAAAAAAGUCACUUUAAUCACCUAUUUCAUUUUUUGCCUCUUUUAGCCAUUGAAUUUAUUGAACUUAUAUUUUUUUGUCAAAUCACUUUAAAAUGGAUGAAAAUUUUGUCAUUUAUUAACAUUAUUGGCGUGACAUACACGUGGAUAACAUGUCAUCAUUUAAUUAAUUUUUAAAAAUUUUAAAAAUAUUUUAUACUGUUUUCAAUAAUUUUAAUGAUUAUUUUUACAGAUAAUUUUUUUUAAUUAACUAAAUGCUGACGUGUCAUCUACCUGACUAUUCAUGUGUAUGCCACAACAAUAAAGUUUAAAAAAAUAAAUUUUUUCAUCCAUUUUGAGGUGAUUUGACAAAAAAAUAUAAAUUUAAGGACUAAAAAAAAGUAAAAAUUAAAUAUAAGACUAAAGUAAUUUUUUUUUAAAUUAAAGGGCCAAAAAAGUCUUUAUAACUUAACCAUUUAGCCCAUUAAUAAUGAUUUGUCAUAAUAGUGUAUAAGGAUGACUUGAAUUGGAUUUAGAAAUUAUCACAUGCUUUUAACUGGUAUUAAAAAAACACAAGAUAAAAUAUUUAUUUGAUUCAGAGAGAGAGAGAGAGAGAUUACAAGUAUCAAAACUAGCUAAGUUUGUCUCGUAAUGGUAAAAGCAUGAAUCGAUAAACAUAUGUAUCAAACUCAAAAAAGAAAAUAAAAACACAAAAAGGCAAGAACAACACUGUAUUCUCUCCAAACUAGAAAAAGUAGAGGGAAAAACCAACCAAAAUCACUUCUGAAAUCUGUGCUUGGAACAUAUAACGAUUUCAACAUGCAUCAAACAAAGGUUACAAAUUUCUCAACUCACUACUUUUACAAACUCCAUCCUCUCUUUCCGACUUCGUAUGAUGAAGAUCAAAUCAGAAACGACAACUCUUCCAACCCCACCCACUUGAGUGACUGAGAUUGCUAGUGUUUUUUGCUCUAAAAAGUAUGGUAUGUACCGUUGAUUUUUCAUUAUCAUGUAUUUUUUUAUUCUGCCAACCACAAAGCUCUAAAUGUAAUUAUUAGCUUACCAUAUUUGUCUUCAUCAGCUUCUUUGAAUAUGUCAACUAACCACUCUUGCCCGGUUUACAGAGCUAUCGAAGUUCCAGGUUAUUCCCAACAGUUCCUACAUGCAUGUUCCAUCGUUUCAUCGACAUCAUUGCAUCAAGGACUAUUAGAGUUAGUUCAACAACAGAAUCAGUUAUAUUGUUGAUGAUUUUGUUACCCUGUUAGCAGCAAUUUAUCAUCUUUUUAGAUGUGUAUAAAUUCAUUCUUAUGUAUUAGAAGUAAUCAAGCUAUUUUUUCAGUUUGUUAAUGAAAAAUCAGAGUAUAUUGCUUCAAGGUUUCUUGUAUUUGUUUGUGAUAUUCUAUUUGUUGGAUAGCCGUUACACCCCUUGACACAGCGGAGAAAAUAUUCCGGCGAUCAUCAAUUAUGAAUCCAUGUACGAGGAAUGAAUUGAGUUGAAACAAGGGUCGGAAAGAUACUUUUUCAAAAUUGAAAGAAUGACGAACAACAUUGUUGAUAGGAUCCCUUUGAACGAUGUCGAUCCCAAGCCGUAACAAUAACGUAUUGGCCUCUACGUAAUCCACCCAGUCAAAGAAUGAACAACAAAAUUCUCUUGAACUUUUCAGAGAAUAUUUUCAAGAACGACUAGUAGACCUUUUGAAUCUGUGUUUUCUUGGUAACCCUAACACACUAAGGGAUUAUUUUCCUUUUUAUUUUCUUUGAUACCACAUAUCAGAAAAAAAAGGAUUAUUCCCUCAUUAUUAGAGAAACAAAUGAAAAGUCAGAAAAGAAAUUAUAUUCUUUCCAAAAGAAUAACAAUUUCCAUAUCUUUUAUAUUUUGACCGAAAUUAAUUAUUAUAACGGUUUAUAUUAAUAAUUUCAAUAAACUAUAUACAAUUAAUAUUUUGUAUGAAUUCAUAUAUUAAUUUUAUCUAUGUUCUCUAUUUGUGUACAACAAGUUUGCACAUAUAAUGUGUUCAAUAUUUAAUUAUCAAAUUAAAUUAAUUCAAUACCAAAUGUAUUUGGAUUAUGUUCGCUUCAACUGUAGGGUGUGACCCUCUAGGUUCUUGUAACGUUUGUAGUAAUACUAAAAUGUUUCUAAUAUUACAAGUAAUGAGUGACAUCUAGCAAUGCAUUAUUUCUAUCCAAGUACAAGAAGUCGUAAUUCGACAUCAUCUUUCUGGGAUAAUCUUUUCAUGUAUAUAUAUGAUUUUAUCUUUAAUAUCUAGAUUGGGCACAAGUCAUUCAAUAGUCACACUUGUAUAGUCUAAUCUCAUAUUUCUUGAUAUUCUAAGUAGACUACAAUAAAAAAAUAAGUUGAUAUCUCAUAUCAACUUAUUCCAGCAUUGUAACCUCUCAAACUCGACCUAGACAUUAUGGUCGAAUCAUAAAGUUCACAUUGGUCACCUACGCGGCAAAGCUACCUUAUCGUUCGUUGAAAACCUUAAGUACCCUCUCUUUUAGGAAAAAUCACAGUUUACCUUUGUUAAUUUGGGAAAACAACUCAUUAAUUAAUUCAACCAAUCUUAAGUCAUGUUAUUAGCAUCAGCGUGGUUUAAAAAUCACAUUGCUCACCGUUACUUUACUCAAAACUUUGUUAUCUUUGGUUAUAGCGGAAAACUCAAUUAUAAUUAUUUAAUCAUUAAGCCAAGUAACAUGCUUUGCCCAAUUUCAAGAUGUGCUUAUAAAUCAAUUUAAAGUAUGUCAAGUAUGCAUGCAUGAAAACCCCAAAACAGAAUAAAAACCCAAACCACAGUCUAAAUAACUUUACAGUCCAAGAACCAAAUAAAUUUAGUUAAAACUCAAGCAAAAUAAUAAUUAAGUCAAAAGCCCGUCGUAUGUUCUGCAUGCCAUAUCCGAUCCUAAUCACGAGCAUUACUUGAGGAGGUUGAAACUAUGGGGUGAGCUAACUAGCUCGGUGUGAGUCUAAACAAUAAGAACAUUCAAAUAUUCAUUCAAAUAUCAUUCACCAUUAAUAACAUUGUAUGUAACACCCCUAACCCAUCUUCAAAUUAAGAUUAAAUCAUAAUAAAUAAUGACCUUUAUAAACAAUUAAUUAACUUAAAUAAUAACAUUAAAACUAAUAUUUAUUCAUGGCAUAAACAUGGAUACAAACCUUAAUUCGAGCUUACAAGGUCAGAAAAAUAGGUUGGGAACAUCCAGGGACUAAUUUGAAACAAAUCAAGAAAUUUUGGAAAAAUUGGGAAACAGAGGCCCCAUGACCGUGUGGGCAUUCAAAGUACGGGACACACAGCCGUGUCCCAGCCUCUAUAUCUGCCCAUGUGGGUAUUCGAAAUAGGGUCAUAUGAUCGUGUCGCAAGCCGUGUGCCAGACCGUGUAACUCUCUAUGAUCGUAUGGUUCAACCUGCACCUAAAAUUUAAAUGAGACAAGGCCAUGUGGGGUGGCUGUGUGCAGUAUAUGGCCAUAUGGAAACCCGUGUCCCAAGCCAUGUUCUCCAUUUUUAACCCUUAAUGCAAGUCAAAACAAGCACUAAUUCUUACACACCAAGACACACCAUACACAGCUUAUUUCACAUCGUUAAAAACACAUUCAAACACACUAGAUGUGUUAAAUCUCACAUUUUAUGUGCCUAGCCAAUAUGCCCUCAAUUGACACCACAAUUCAUACACAAAAUCAAUUCAAGAACAAAGUUACAACUCCACACUUUAUACACAUAACAUUUACAGCAAAAAGACUAUUUCAUUCUCAAACUACAUGACUGACUCCGGACGUACUAACAUCUAGAGUGUAAAUAUUGUAACUAAAAAUAUAAAUUUUAGGUGGUGUUUGCAAGUAUAUAGGUUAUGUUGUAAUAUAGUUACAACGAAGUAGGUAAGUACUCCAAGGGAUUACGAGAAAUAAUUACUGAUCUACUUGAUUCACAAAUUAGUAGUGUUAAUAUGGAAGCAAGAUGAUAAUAAUAUUAAUAAACUAAAUAAAUUGAAUUAAACUUAAAUCUACUCCUAAGUUCAUGUAUCAGCUUCUCCUAUCCCUUGUUUCGACUACGCGAGUUCCUUUAGCCUAAAUCCAAUUGCUUUACCUAAUUACUUAUUGAUAUAGGGUUCUAAUCAAUCAACUAGUCGAUACCCUAGCAGGAUCUUCUAACAUGUCCACUAGAAUAAUGAGUCAAUAAGAAUUACUUAUCUUUCGACCUCACAAUCCAGACCAAUUCGAGGUUAAGGUGUUCACAGAUGGGCUAUACCAAUUUUGGGUUAAUUCCCACCUAAAUGACUUCCUAGAGUUGUCAAGCCUAGGGUUUAAGUUCUCCCUCUCCCAAACAGUUGAUCCGCUAAGAAGUUCUAUCCUUCAAUAAAUUAUUAAGAUUAGAAUAGUUGAAAUAUGUGAUAUAUGUAUAAAACAUAAAUUGAUUCUAAUCUUUACAAAAGUAUUCAAUUAAAAAAUGUUCAAGAAAGAGAUAUAAAGAAUAAAAUAAAGGAAAAGAGAUGCUCAUGGAUUUAUCAAUGAAAGCGUGGCUCCAGAACAAUCUCCACUCGCGAGAGUCUUAUUUUGAAAUAGGAUAUUCCGAUUACAAGAACAUAAAAUACCCUAAGUAGAAACUAAGAAUGAAAUAAAAACCUUAAAUAUAUUUUCUGUCUCCCUAAAAAUUGUGUGUUUAAACUAAUUACAAUGGCCUUUAAAUAGGCUAAACUCGGAAUAUUAAAGUGCCUAAAAUAUUCUUGAAGUCCUUAGAGUUCAACUAGGAUAGAUAUUCCUAAUUUCCCUAAAAAACGUAAUUAAAACGUGCAGGAGUUUUUAGGUUGCAUAGGGGUUUGGUUGCGACACUGGCCUACGUUGUUACAACCAACCACAGGGGGUAUGUCGCAACAUAGGAUGGCUGUGUCACGACAUCAAGGGCAAUUUCGCUCCAGAACUUAUUUUUGGCUUCUGUCUUCGAUGUUGAGACAUCAGUGUCUUAGUGUCGUGACAUAGGCAUCAGUUUUGGCUGGAAUAAGCAUCUUUAUCUCCCUACUUGACCUACAAGAUCAUGUAACCUAAUUUAGAUAUAUAAAAUAUAAUAAAAACUACUAGAAAACAUAAAUUACUACUUUAAGUAUGAAAACCUAAAUAUAUACUAGGAUGCUUUGGUUUAAAUAUUAAACAAUGUAAAGUUAUGUGUAAAAAAGAUGUAAAUAAUAGUGUAAUUCGUGGCAGAUCACUCUCCCACACUUAAUUUGUUGCUUGUCCUCAAGCAACCAAAGCACAUAUAUUGGAACAAAAGAAAAUAAAAAAAAUUAAUACGAAAAUGAAUUAAUUGCUUUCUUUAAACAAGCUAAAAUUAGUGAAGAUGGAUGUAAAUAAGAACCUCACACCUAAACUCCCCCACAUUUAACUUUUUGCUUGUCCUCAAGCAAACCAAGUCUAGACACAUAACAUGCAAUAAGAAUGUGUCCCUUGGAUUUUAUUACUACUAUAAACAUGGUUGUCAAAUAUUAAAUGUAUAACAAUUCUUAUCGUACAUGUAACUUAAUCUUGAAAAUUUUUAAAGUAAAUUAGGAUUAGUUUUACAAAGUUACAUCACUAACAAAUUAGAAAUAAUUUCCAUGACCAAAUGUUUAACAAUAUUACCAUUAACAUAAAUCAAGCAAAUAUGUAGCAAACACAAUCAUGUGAAUCAAAAACAUUCAUUAAAUAAAAUUAUUAGCAAUUCCGGAAGAUUAUGCAUAGAGAAUGCUUAAGCCAUAUUGGUCUUUUAGGCUUAUAACGUUCUGAGACUUAGGACGGUAUGAGUUCAAAGAAAAAUAUGGCUCAAAAUGGUUCAAACACUAGAAAUAAUUAGGCACAGGACACUGUUUCAUCUCUUCCCCCUUAAUGUGCCAUCCAAGCUCGCCGCCUUUUAUCUCCCUCUCUCACCUACCUUAUCUCUCCAUGUAGGAAGAUACAAUAUAAUACUAGCAACUAUUGUCUACUUAACGAGUUUUGGUACACUGAUUACUAUGUUUUCUCACUUUUGUGACUUUUUAUUUUGUCACUUGACUUUUUACUCUUUUCUCAGUCAAAGUGCUUUUGUUCGAUACUUUUUCCACUCAUUUUUACUUUCGACUUUUUCUAGAUUUUUUUUUCUUUUUCGCAUAUUUUUGCUCGACCCAUAAUUAUUGUAUCACAUUGUUUCUUCUCUUCUUUUUUUUUUUUUGAAAUCACCGUAAUGUAUCUACCUAAACCCUCAAUAUGUAUGGCCUUUCAUAAUGUAUUGAAGGACCAAAGAUAGGCAAAAGUUCAAGUUUUAUGUGUGGCCAUUAGGUUCAAUUUUAUUGGUUCAUCAAAAAAGAGUUAUCAUGAUGAAAUAAGAAGACUAGAUAUUCAUAGCAUUAAAGUAUGGUCAUUUGAGAACAUGCUAUUUAAAUAAUGCCUUAGGUCAUCCCUAAGCAUCCCACCAUACACAAUUUCUUUCAUGCUUUGAAUUAAAUCGAAUGACUAAUAAUCAAUUCAAGCAUUCAUAUCUUUUAUGCAAUUUAACUAAGUAACCUAAUCAAUUCCUCUUUAAAACAAUCAAAUUAUCUCAUAUCAAUAAAAAAUUUCAUGCUUGACAAAAAUCAUUACAUGCUUCAUUAUUGUUUCAUUAUUUUCAACAUUUAUUCACAGAGUUAAUAUAAUCCAAGCACCAUGCAACAAAACAAUAAUUUUUUUAAAUAAAUAAUCAACUAAAGUAAAGUAAACACAAAAACAAAAACACACAGACUAAUCAUAUGCAAUUUCCCGCACACUUUAGAACAUGUAUUGCCCUUAACGAAAAAUAGUUAAAGUGCAAACAAGAAAACUUCCUUGAGUAGGUUGGAUCCUUGUUGUUAUGAUAAUAUUGGGAUUUGUGUGCUCUAAGCGGACGAAAAGGUAACUAAAAAAUACUACGACAAGCAAUAUGAGAUAUAAUAUAAAGAAAAUAAAAAUAAAAAGAAGAAGUGUCAAUAAUAGAUGACAGAACGUCUAAAAAUAUUUGGAUGAACUCGGGAUUUCAAUGUUUCAAGGUGCAUUCUGUCUAGGAUGUUGCAACAUUAGGGUGCGAUAUUGCGACAUCGAUCCCAGUUUCUAACUUCUUCAAAAAAGAUUCAAUUCUACCACUCCAUGAUAUCUACCUUACUAUGAAAAAAAAUAGAAAUAAAUAAUAUUAAUAAAAAUAAAAUAAAUGAAUAAAAUAAUAAUAACUAACGAAAUUUAAAGUAGGAAAUAGAAGUUCUUUAAAAAUUGGGACGAUCCGUGUCACCACUGUAAAAGAACUUCUAGUUGGUUCUCGACACUUUGAUUCAACGUUUGUUUCUUUGUUGAUAUAUAUGAACCAGCCCAUUCGGUCGAUUCCAAUGAUGUUGCCUUAUUUUCGACCAACGCGACAUCCACAUUACAAGUCAUUUAGUACCGAAUCUGAGUCAACCCCGGAUUAUUUUUCAAGGUAUUAUUACCUCGAGCUUCCUCCCCUCCAUGUCGCGUGAAGUUUUGGUCACUCGAGCUUUAUUGCCCUUGUCGAAUGAAAAUGAGUCGAACUCAUAGAUCUCUUCGGCUGACACCUUCUCCGUUAUGGCCAAAAAGUGUAUUGGCUCUUCUACACUUUCAUUUGGAAUCGGUUUAAGCUCCAUUUUAGUGGUUACUUAUAUUUUUACAUCAGUGGUUGCAUCUACUUUUAUGGUUGUUUCUAUGUCAAUUGGAUUGAAAAUCGCUUCAGCCAUAUUCAAUUCAUCCCUAUGAUCUCCAAUUCCAAACUCUUGUUGACUAUUAUUGUCUAAUUUAGCGUGAUUAACAAUAAAACAAGGGUCAUUUAGAUCAAGGUUGGGAAUAUCGUGCACGACCUCUUCCAUUGGAGGUAAUGCCUCAAAUAUCUCUUGGAGUAUUUUCCUCAUCAGUUUUAUCAUGUCUGACAUGUUUGAUAAUCUUUCGGAAUUGGAUAGCUCAGCAGUUUCACAUGAAGGAAUCUUAUGCAGAUCACAAAGAGAUUCAUCUAAGUGUUUGGAUAUAUAAUUGUCUUUGUUUUAUGACUCAUAAAGAGGUUUGUAUGAGUACUCAUUGUCCUCACACCCCUUGAUCAUCACUCCAUUGGUUCUUCGUGGCUUCGUUUGACCAACCUAUUAUGUAGUCCCAUUCGUCAUCCCAAUAGGUCCUUUCAUCAUUAAACCACCUGUCAUCAAAAUUUUCCAUAAUUAGAUAGUAUAGUCAAUAAGGUGAACAAUAAAUAAGUAAAUAAAAUUUGAAAAAGAAAAUAAUACAAUUAAUGAAAAAAAUUAGUACACUAUCUAGCAUGUUCGUCUUUUGACUAAUGUUAUUCAUAAGUAAUUGAUUCAAUAACAAUUAUCACCGCUACAAUCCUUGGCAACGACGCUAACAACUUAACCACCUCCAGACAUAAUAACAUCCAAAGUGUGAAUACUGCAACUAAAGAUAUAGAUUUGAGGCGGUGUCUGCAAGUAUACGGGUCAUGUUGUAAUAUAGUUACAACGAAGUAGGUAAGUACUCCAAGAAUCGUACCCAAGAGAUUGUAGUUUAAGGAAGAUUGUUAUCAAACCAAUUACAGGAAAUAAUUACUAAUCGACUUGAAUCACGAAUUAGUAGUGUUAAUAUGAAAGCAAGAUGAUAAUAAUAUUAAUAAACUAAAUAAAUUGAAUUAAACCUAAAUCUACUCCUAAGUUCAUGCAUCGGCUUCUCCUAUCCCUUGUUUGACUACGAAAGUUCCUUUAGCCUAAAUCCAAUUGCUUUACCUAAUUAAUUAUUGAUAUAAGGUUUUAAACAAUCAACUAGUUGAUACCCUAGCAGAAUCUUUUGAUACGUCCACUAGAAUAAUGAGUCAACAGGAACUAUUUAUCUUUCGACCUCACAGUCCAAACCAGUUCUGUGUUAAAGUGUUCACGGAUAGACUAUACCAAUUUUAGGUUAAUUCCCACCUAAAUGACUUCCUAGGAUUGUCAAGCCUUGGGCUUAAGUUCUUCUUCUCCUAAAAGCUAAUCUGCUAAGAAACUAUAUCCUUCAAUCAAUUAAUAAGUUUAAAAUAGUUGAAACAUGUGAGAUAUGUAUAAAGCAUAAAUUGAUUCUAAUCUUUACACAAAUAUUCAAUUAAACAAUGUUCAAGAAAGUGAUAUAAAGAAUAGAAUAAAGGAAAAGAGAUGCUUAUGGAUUUAUCGAUGAAAGCGUGGCUCCGGAACAAUCUCCACUUGCAAGAGUCUCACUUUGAAAUAGGAUAUUCUGAUUACAAGUACAUAAAAUACCCUAAGUAGAAACUAAGAAUGAAAUAAAAACCCUAAGUAUAUUUUUGUCUCCCUAAAAAUUGUGUGUUAAACUGAUUAUAAUGGCCUUUAUAUAGGUUAAACUCGGAAUAUUAAAGUGCCUAAAAUAUUCUUGAAGUCCUUAGAGUUCAGCUAGGACAGAUACUCCUAAUUUCCCUAAAAAAACGUAAUUAUAACGUGCUAGAGUUUUUGGGUUGUGUAGGAACUUGGUUGCAACACCGGCUUGUGGUGUUGCUCUGACACUCAAACUUGAUCGGGACAGACCAACCCGAAUUCGAAGCGUUACAUUAGCCACCAAAACAACUCUCCAGCUGACGACCACCCGACAUACACCCCAAACUUAUAACACCUCAUUUAUGACUAAUUAAUUAUCAUUUAUUAAUGUAGAAGCAAUUUGUGAACCAUUUUUAAACUUUUUCUAAUUAUUUAAACCUAAGGGUAUUUUGGUCAUUUUAUCACAUAAGAUUAAAUUGUCUCAAUUUUAUUUUUAAAUAGUUACUGACCUUUUUUUAGUCAAACCCUAAAAUUUUUUAGCUUAAUUCGAGUUCAUUUACCAUGUCUAAUUCAAGUUUUAUUAUUAGAGACUAAAUCGUAACUUUUACAAACUUUUAGUACAUUUUCCAAAUUAAAAAUUAAGAGUGUUUCUACCAAAUACUAACAGUUACAAGUCUAAUCCUAAAAUAUUACCAAGUGUCCCUGUCAUUAAAGGCUUCAAUUAAUCUAAUCAAGUUUUAGUACUAACUUAUAAUAAAUUAAGCAAAUUAGAAUACUAGAUUACAAAAACCAAAAAUUGAACCCCAAAAACCCACACGGCAGUGUCCCCAGCCCGUGUGUCAUUUAAAAACCCGAUUUUACAUAUUUUACUUACCAUUAAACUUGAAAUAGCUACAAUUAAUUACCAUAAAUAUCCACACAUCUCUAAUUUAAUUUAUUUACAACAAAUAUGCAACAAUUAAUCAAAAUUUAACACCUAAUUACACGCUUAGCAAACACCAAAUAAUUCAUACAAGCUACAUACCUUAGCCGCAAGCAACCCACUUCAUAGUAAGCUUCAAUUAAACAUUGCUAGUAUAAAUUACAUGCUUCAUACACCGUGUUAUCAACCACUAUACGAACACUCAUCAACAUACCAUAAAUCAAACAUCAAAUAGACAUAAAAUCAUGUAUUAAAGCAAUUAUAAAUUCACCAAAAUUAAAGUCCAAAAUUUAAUGUCCAAUGUCCAUUACAAGUAAAAUAACACUAGUCCCAAAAGCAUCACAAUGCCCCUAUAUAAUCUCUAAAGUAAAUUUCUUAAGCCACUAUCGAGCCUUAUUCUUGGAUCGCCCUUGCACUCGCUUCUCGACUCCUUAUGCCCGGGAAUUUUCUGCGCGAAAUGUGAGGGUGUGAGCUUAAAAAGCUUAGUGAAUGAUAGUAAAAACAUUACGUAAUUUGCACCCAAUCAUGCAUAAAUCAAAGCAAUUAAGCAUUAAAUUUUAAGUCACAACAUGUUAACAGUUCACUAUAACAUCACAUGCUAUUUCAAGAAUUAAGAAUCAAUUUUUCCAUGGCAUGUAAAAUCUAUCUUUUAAAACACAAACAUUCAAUUAUAUUGGCACAAUCAAUCAAUUAUAUUGGCAUAAUACAUCCAUGGCAAUAAGUAAACAUAUGAUCAUACAUUGGAUAAACGGAUCUUUGAACUGCCGCAAAUCAAAUACAGUCCUCCGAAUUGAGCGGCCCGAAGCCACACGCUCCCUUAUAGUGCUUCAGAUAACCUAAUGAAUGGAGACUCAAGCUCAAGACUCCCUUAUCUACUCCAAACAAAUCAAUCCACCAAAAGCCAUAUGCUUACAAUAUCACAAAUAAUGGUGAGUACUCACAAAUCUUAUGGUAUGCCAACUAUAUCCAAUAGAUUUACCAUGCAAUGUUGCCAAUAUAAUCAUACAUACAAGGCAUAAAAUUUGUUGUUUAAUCACUUAAUUUAGGAUGUGAAAAUGCAAGUAAAAGCAUGUUGCUAAGCAAUUUUAACAUCAAUAAAAUUAAGCAUAGAUAUCAUUUUCCUAAUAUUCAUACAUCAAUAAAAUAUAAUUUUAACAUCAAAUGUUCAAUAAAUCAGCAAUUCAUGCUCCAAAUAUCAAUUUAUUCCAUACAAUUUAAUCAUUCUAAAAGCAUAAUACACAACUUACCAAACCAAUUGUCAUUUUGCUCUUUUAUAAAAUAAAACCUAUUUUUGCAAAGCCAACCAUCCAAUAUGCAAUUAAGUCAUUAAUAACAUCAAUUAAACCUUUCAUGUAACACAUAAUCAAGCCAAUUUACCAAAUUUCUCUUAAUAUCACUCACCUCCACACUUAGCUCUUUAAGCAAAAAAAAAAUGUCCAAACAAGCAAGUUCGGGCUUAUUCUGAUUUGCACGUUCCUCCUCUUGAUGUGGAGCUUUAACAAAGACAAAGUAUGCAUUAAAAACUAACAAUAGCAACAAGAAACACAAAAUUUAAUAAAGUAUACAAAUCUAUAUCAUUGCUCUAAACUACUUUACCGGUGUUGCACAACUAAGCCGAAAUAUGGAAUUCCUCAACUAAACUCCCUUUUUAGCACCUCAAAACACUUCCAAUCUUCAUUCCUAGUCCAAUAACAUGUAUUCUAAGUGUUAAUUUCAUCAUUUAAUCCAUGUUCUUGAUCAAAUUCGAAUUUCAUCAUAUUUUUCGAAAAAAUCAUCCAUGUUCUUGAUCAAAUUCGAAUUUCUCAAAAUUGAUCCAUAAAACAUGUUUGAUCUUUUGGUUUAAGAUUAAAAACCUCUUAUUAGACCUAUUUUGAGCUUAGACAUCCAUUAAUAUUUGGAUUCCAACUCAAAAUUAAAGAUCUAUCGUUGUUGAUCCUCAAGUUCAUGAAAAAAGAAAUUAAAGUUGAAAAUCCAUUAUAAUCAGUUUAAUUAACAAAUAAUGAUUGAAAUCAACUUAAAAACAAGUUUAGAGAUGAUGAUUACCUUCAAUUGAACUCAAAUCAUUGAUUUGGAAGUUUGAAUCAAAAUAAUUGAAGAAAUUCAAAUGACUUUUUGCCCAACUUUGAAAAUUAUUUCAAGAGAUUUUAGAGAGAAUUUUUGGAGAGAAAGGUUUAGAUCUAUUCUCUGAUAUUUGAUUUAUGAAAACAAGUAAAAAAAAUGAGAGAAAAUGCUCCCAAUUCGGGUGAAAAGUGAGGUAGUUGCAGAGUUCUUAAAACAAAUGCUCCCAAUUCGGGUGAAAAGUGAGGUAGUUGCAGAGUUCUUAAAACUGAAAAUGCCCAUCUGAUUUUCAGAUUUAGGGAAUUUGCCAUUUGGCCACUCUCCAUUUUCCCUUGUUUUACAAUUUGCUCAUGUCACUCCAAAAUUCUGAAAAUAUGGUUUAUUUGCUAUAAAACCUCUUACACAUUUCCCUUGUUUUUCAAAUUAGUCCUAUUUAAUUAUGUCCAGUCAACUGCUGCGCCUCAAUGCAUUUCGGGGAGAACCAGCUAGCUCUGGGUUCGAGUGGCAUUUCACCCCUAACCACAACUCAUCCGCUGAUUCUUCAACAUUAGUUGGUUCAGACCUUCACUUAGUUUCACCCAAGCUUCAUCCUAGUCAUGGAUAGAUCACUCAGGUUCGGUUUAAAUCACCCAAUUAAACCCUCAUUUUAAAUUGUUUUUAAAUUCUAAUUUAACCCUAAAUAUUUAUUUUUACCCAAAAAUUAUUUAAAACCAUAAAAUUAAUUUUUUUAAAAAUUUUUAUUUUUUCGAAUAUUAUUUACCGAUUUUUAGAUGAAAUUAAGCUAACUAAUUAAGAAUAUAAAUCGCUAAUUAACCCAAUUAAUUCCCAAUUAUCACUUGAAACCUCGUAAACUUACUCGAAACUACUAGGCCCUUUUUUAGGGCCUUAUAGUUGCAACCAACCACAGGAGGUAUGUUGCAACAUAGAAGGGUUGCGUCGCGACAUCGAGGGCAGUUUCACUUCAGAACUUGUUUUUGGCUUCUGUCUUCAAUGUUGAAUGUGUUGCUGUCGUGACAUAUGCAUCAUUUUUGGCCCGAAUAAGCAUCUUUAGCUCCCAACUUGACCUACAAGAUCAUGUAACCUUAUUUAGAUUUAUAAAAUGCAAUAAAAACCACUAGAAGGCAUAAAUUGCUACUUUAAGUAUGAAAACCGAAAUAUAUACUAAGAUGUCUUGUUUAGCUAUUAAACAAGCUAAAGUUAUGUGUAAAAAGAAUGUAAAUAAUAGUGUAAUUCGUGGUAGAUCACUAUACGACCAUAACUUUCCACUUUAAAAGCAUAACCAAAAUGACCAUAACCAUACAAUUUUAAACAUUUACAAGCCAAACCAAACCAUAUAUACAAGUAGAUACAAAUAAGACCAAAGCACACCAUAUUGACAAGCUAGUAUAAAACACCUAUUACAUGCCAUUUAUAACCUUGUACCAAGGUAACCAAAAACUACCAAAAUGAUGGAAGGAUAGUGUGAUCGUGCUCCGAUAAAAUUCCAACCGGUCGAGCUUUCCAAUGAUCUACAAAACAAAGAAAACAACUAUAUAAGCAACUAAUGCUUAGUAAGCUCGUAUAACAGAAACUUAAACCUACCGAAUAUAUAUACAUGAUUAAAUGAUUCAAGCAUUAUUCAUUUCCAAAUGUAUACAUUUCUUUCCUAUUCACACCACUUCACAGAGUUAGUAAAUGUAUUAAAAAGCAUACCAAAUCAAUUGAACUUGAAACAUGUCAUAAUAAGGAGUUAAAUAUAUGAUUCAUCCAUCAAAAGCUCAAUUUGCUCCCUUCUCAUUUCAAAUACAUAUGUCAACAUUUUUCAUUUCAUGUUUCCACAACAUAACUCAUUUCAUAUACAUAUCCAUUCAAUUAAAACUUUAAUCACCCAUUGAACCAAAUAGAAUAUCAUCGGAUGUUCGAGAAUGCUCACACAAAGUGUGCUUGUACAUGUAACUGUAACCAUAUCUGUAAUGCUCACACAAGCUGUGAAACGAGCCUACUCACACGAACUGUGGGUCAAGAUGUUAAGCUACAUGAUGCUGCUCACACGAGCUGUGGAGAAUCUACAAAAAAUGCAAGACUUUAACCAUCGGUAAGACAUCCAAAACCAGCACUCAAAAUCGUAUGACCCCUAAUGAUAUGUCAUUUGUAUCCUAAGUAUUCACAAUGUCCAAACGAGACAUUUUUCCUUAUCAAUUCUUUAACUUCUUUCCAUAAUAUCAAUUCAUAUAAAUAUAACCAUAAAUCUCACAUUUUUCACAUAUAUUCAACAAUUAAAUAACCAUUACAAUUACAUCCAAAACAACUAGUCAAUAGUUUAUAUUCAAUAUGAGUUGUUCAAGGUAUAAUAUUAAUUAACCCUCUAUUUUGAAAUAAAAAAUAACCAAUUUACCAUUAUACGAACUUACCUCAACUAACACGAUUGUAAGUAAAGUCGAUGACUAAUCCGACACUUUAACUUUUCCUCGAUUCAAGUCCGGUUGAUUUGUUUCUUGAUCUAAAUAGUAAUUUAACUCAAUUAAACAAUUCAAAUAGCUUAAAAUAGCUAAUUCAAACCUAUAACCCAUUUUGACGUGAACUCAUGAAAUUACCCCUAACAUUUUAACUUUUGUGCAAUUUAGAACUUAAACCUGAGACUUGUAACUUAACCACUUUUAACAAAAAAAACCAUACUUGUUAAUUUUUAAUAGGUUCACAAACAACCCAUAACUUUCACCAAUUCACCAAAUAUUCAUUGAAUUUUACUAUUUAAACAAUUUAAUCAAUAAACAUUAAAAUCACUAAAAAUCACUUAACAAAAUGAGAUUAUUCAUAUACCAAGAUUAAUAUUCUAUCAACCAAAUUCAAACACAUUCACAUCAUUCAUGGUAAGUCCUUAAAAUGUUAACAAUUUUAUAAAUUGACCCCCGAGCUAGCUAAAUUAAUUUAAAACGAUCACAAAAACAUAAAAAUCAUUAAACAAAAAGGGGAUAAAAAACAUACCAUGCACCAAAGACAAGCUUGGCCGAAUGUUUCUUCACUUAACAAUGGUGGUUUUGGCAAACAAAAGGAAAAUGAAGAUGAUGAUAGCUAAUUUCUUAUUUGGUUAAGUUAUUUAUUAUUAAAUUACCUUUUUAACCUUAAUAAUUUAAUUAAUAAACAACAAAUCUUUGUCCAUAGAUGUCCACUACACAUUUAUAUAGUUUAAUUACCAUCUAAGUUCAUUACUUUACAUUUCCAUAACCAUUAACCCAUUUAACUAAUAGAAGCCCACUUUUGCAAUCUUUACGAUUUUGUCCUUUUUAAUUAAUUAACUAACUAAACAUUAAAAUUUCUUAACCAAAUUUUAAUACGACCCUAAUAUAACCCUAUAAAAAUUAAAUAAAUAAAAAAAUAUUGACUCGUUCAUCUAAAUUGUGAUAUCAAAAUCACUAUUUUCGACACCAUCAAAAAUGGGUUGUUACAUUGUAACACAAACAUAGCAUAAACAUUACCAUUUGAAAGUGUCAUGGACAUAACAUAAUGCAUAAUGAGUUCCUAGCCCAACCAUCCGCCACACAUCAUGAGUUCCCUAGAACUCGUCUGCCAAACUCCAUACAUUGCAAGCUAAACUCAAUGUGGUUAAACCACUGUUAUACAUAAUGCAGAUAUACUGACAUUCAAAAUAAAUUCGAUAUAAUCUCCGUUCUUCUCAUUACUCCUAGUGCAGUGCACUAACAACAUUUAUGUGGAUUUAAUAUGCCGCUAUUACUCCACGGAACUCCUCUUUCAUCCACAUAAUCCCACCCCAUAUACAUGCGAUAUGUUAUACAAAUUUCCUUCAAAAUCAUGUUUCCAUUACAUUCUCAUUUCAAUAGCAUAUUUUACAUGGUCUUAUAAUAACAUUCACUUCCGCUCGAUAAUAACACUUAUCUUUCAUUCAUUUUCACCACCAAUAUGGUAACAUUCCAAUAUGCCAUAAUUCUAAUGCGUGCUACUCAUACAACCAGCAUGCAUUAUAUCACUCAUGCAAAUAUUCAUACCAAUACUAGACAUUCAAACAUUCAAUCACUCAUGCAACUUUGCAAACAUGCCAUUUAACUAAUACUCGAAACGUACUUGAUUCGGCCACCUUAAAAUCACUUACUUAGCCAUUUAACUAAGUAUGACCAGAAAGCUUAAUCAUUGUUUUAAGUAUUAAAAAUAUUAUUUAACAAUUAAAUAAUAUAGGUUAGAACCCAUACAUUAUUUUCACACAACUGUAGCACUAUUUGCGAAACCUGCUAUUCCUCCUUUAUACUUAAACUAAACCUAAAUUAAAAUACAAUAUUUAUCAAGUCAAAAUGCUGCCAAAUCAUCCUUAAAAUACCCUCUUAAAGGUUUAAUCAAAUCAGCAUUACCAUAAUAAUUUUCAGAUCCAAAUCGACUGGGCUACUUACACUGAUUUGAUGCGAAACAUAUGCACGAACGAGAUCUAUAGUCACUGCUGAUCUGAGACAUUUAAAUCAGCACCUAAACAUAAUUAAUCCCCAAAAUUCAGUAACAAAAACCCCCAUUUAGAAUUUAAAGUAAUCGGCUAAAGUAGAAAUUAUUAACAAAGCGAAAUAGUGUAAGAUCUCGCACAAGUUUGCACUUUGCACUACCCAUUACCCAGAUCUGAGUUGUCGGAUGAAUGUCUUCGUUAAUUACUCAAUUAGGAAUAUCCAAAUAAGAUCCAAAUAGAGGGAAAAAUCCAAAAAACUUACAAUUGUAGGGGCAGCAAUUGAAAAGAAAUGAUAGUUGAUCUGUCAUAAUUCGAUGUAGCAGAUUAAACUAGUUUUCGCACUUUAAGAGCUUGAACAUAAGCAUUUUAGUUAAGUUUUAAUUAUAUUUUCGUAAAUAUAGGUAAGUUCAAUAAAACGUGUAAUUUGAGUCUUCUGUUGAACUUAGGGGCCGAAUGAGGCCUAAGGGUGAGCUAAUACACUUUGGAAGUGUGCAGGAGAACAUUAGAAGGUGCAGUAACUUGAUACUGGUCACUAGGUUGCAACACAAAACAUUAGAUGUCGCAACAUAUGGAGCAGAAUAGAAGAAUUCCAAGAUUGCCUUAAAUGUCAUGACAUAACCUAAGGAUGCCGCGACAUACCCCUAAAGACAGGUGUGAAACUAGGGGGGCUGGCAGGGACCUCCGACCCCCUCUAAAAUAGAAAAUUUUCCAUUUAGGCACUUUGAAAUUUUUAAAAUUUUAAAUUAGUAAAGGUAAAAUUGCUCUUUUCCCCCAUAAAAAUGAUAAAAAUUUGAUUUAAUAUUUUAAAAAUUAUAAAGAUAAAGUCUAUUAAAAUGGUAAAAUUGCAUUUUUACAAUUUUGACCCCUCCUAAAAAAUUUUCUUGGCUUCACCCUUGCUUGAAGAUGCCAUGAAGUUUAACAUACUACCCUCGAUGUCAUGACACAGGACCUGGUGAGUCGCGACAUCACUUCUGUACGGAAUAAUUACAAGCAAGAGGCAUUUUGGUCUGCACAAUCAAAUGUUAAGUACGAUGACAGUAGCUAACUCAGGGUUGAGGAUGACGACCAUCCUAAAGUCUAUAAAUAGGCUAAUUGAACAUAUGUUAUAGACUCCCUUUUGAUAUUGUACAAUUUUCUUUUUAGAUUUAGUAUUUAGUAUUUUUUUUAUUAAGGUAUAGAUUUUAUUUCUGUUCUUGUUGUUUACUUUUUUGGGGAAGUCAAAUUUAGAAAAUACUGUCAAAAUCUGUGACGAUUCUACGCUUAAAAUUUAAUACAAAUCAGGCCUCUUCUAAACUCCAUUCUCUUGAAUUGCUCUUUAUGUUUAUUCUCUUUAUCAAGUUUAUAUUGUUUAUUAGAUCCAUGAGGAACUAAUCCUCCUGUGGGGGAUUAGUGAGUUGAGGUAUGAUUAAUUAAAUUUUUUGUAGGGGUUUCUUAGCGAAUCAGCUGUUCAGUAGAGAAAGAACCUAAAACCCUAGGCCUGAAAACCCUAGGAAGUCAUUAAGGUGGGAAUUAACCUAGAUUUGGUAUGGCCUAUCUGUGAACACUUUAACCUUGAACCGGCCUGGACUGUGAGGUUAAGAGAUAAGUAGUUCUUGUCGACUCAAUAUGUUAAUGGAAUAUCAAAAGAUCCUAUUGGGGUAUUAACUAGUUGAUUGAACAAGAAAACCCGAGACGAUAGUUGGUUAUGAUUACUAAAGCAAGCUAAUCACCUAUGCCCAAAUUUGAUACAUUUACUCUUUUAUUUCUCGUGUUUUAUUUAUUUCUUUACUUUCUUUUAGUAUUAUUUUUUAGUAUAGUUUACCAAAACCUUUCUUUUGAUUCUUCGUACUAUAAUCCAAUUAAAGUACUAAUUAGAUCUAUAUAUGUUUAGAUUAGAAUUAAUUUAGUGCUUGCCUCUCUUGGGUAUGAUCCUCAGAGUACUCACCCAUUCUAUUGUAACUAUAUUACAACUUGACCUGUAUACUUGCGGAUACUGUCUUUUAUAUCUUUUGUGCAGGAUUCUACUCUGAAUGUUUGUACGUCCAGAGGCAGUCAAGUUGUUGGCGUCGUUGCUAAGGAGGCAACGUUACAAUAUUGAUUUUAUUUUUUUCAUAUUAAUAGAAUAACUAAGAAAUUUAUGCAUUACAGAUACAAAAUUUAAAUCCUAAGUUACUAACAUUCCUUUAUUUCUUUUUAGCUUCAAAUUCUAGGAAGUACGGUACAAACUCUAAGGACAUUUUUUGAUACAGGCUGGUCGUGGUCUAGUAUUACUCGUCUCAUUAUUUAUAAUUCACAUUUUGAGCUAAAUCCUUCUUUCCUAGCGUGGAUUUCUAGCAAUGUCACAUUCAAUGAUCCUAAGACGGAUGAUCCUAUAGUCUUUUUACAAUAAUUUGAAUAUAUAUACAACACUAUCGCUUACGUUGGAGUACCACCAGACACUAUCAAAUUAUUACUAAUCCUAUUUGCAUUGGAUGAAAAAGUGAAAUCUUGGUUAGAUGCACUCCCACCCGAUACUAUUACUAGUUGGACUACUUUUGUGUAGUUAUUUCUUCACUAAGUCCUCCCUAUGACUCAGUUAAUUUGAUACUUUGCAAAUAAAGCCUACAUGUGAUGUGAUAUGCCUAAGUGCGUGAUGUGAUUAUAUGUGUUGAGGAUACAUGUCUGAAUGUGCAUUAUGAUUAGCAAGUUUUAUGCACAUACAUCUGAUAUGGAAGUGAAUAUGGCUCAAUGAGCAAGUGCUUGCACUUGAAAGUGCAUGAUAUGAAUUUGUGGAAAGUGAUGUGGUUGUGAUAUAUGUGCAAGUGUGCAUAAACCAGAAAAGUAAAUCUGACAUAUAGAUAUGUUGGCCUUGUGAUCAUUUGAAAAUCAUUGGAUAUAGUUGACAUUUCAUAGUAUUUGAUUACUCAUAUAUAUGUUUUUGUUAUCAGGACAUGUUGGAGGGAUAAUAGAAUGUAGAGCAUUGCUCCAUUCAUUGGGAUAUGUCAGUGUGUUGGAGAGUGUUAUCUUAAUACUACAUUUGCUUGGGACAUGUUAGACUCUAGAAGUCAUUGGUAUGCUAAAGAUCUGUGUAUCUAAUGUGUUGUGUUUUUAUACCUAUUUCAUAAUCAUAAGAUGCUAAUAUAUUAACAUGAAUAAAUGUGUGGUGAUGAGAAGUGUUUAAGUGCUUACCAAUCUUGCCUUUAACCUUGAUAUUAUGGUUUAUUAUAGCUUCUUGAGCACUCACUGAGUUUAUUUAAGCUUACACUCUCUUGUGUUUAAUUUUGCAGAUAUAUAGCUUGUGUGGAAUAGAAAAGUAAGUAAGCUUGUGAACCCAAGGCAAAGCAACUAAAUUAUGUAUGUGAGAUAGUUUUCUUAGACAAUAAAGGAUGGCAAUGUGGGUUCAUUUUGAGGGAUUAGACUUUAGUUGUUUUUUUGGUUUGUAAAUAGACUUUCCACGGACUGUUUAAGGACUUUUAUAUCUAGUUUUUAGAUUUUAAAUUGCAUUGGAUUGAUGCAUGAAUGAUACUUGAUGAAUGGUUAAGAUAUAUGUUGAUUAACAUGUUUUUGCCUUAGUAAAUUAUGGCUAUAGAUGCUUAAAUGACUUGUUGAAUGCUUGGACAGAUGCAAAAUGACAAAUGGUAAGGUAUGGCCUAUAAUGCACUUAAAAUUUCCUUAUAUGCAAAGUUGGUAUGUUGAGUAAAUUGAAUUGGGACUUUAGGAAGCAUGCUAGCAUAGGCAAUUUGAUUGAAUACUAAAGUAUGUUAAAGUAUGUUUGAAUGUAAUUGAGCAUGAUUUGAAUGAUGUAUGUAUGCUAUAUAACAUGUUAGAAUAGGGAAAUUGGCAUGAAAACACGAAUUGGUAUGUGUAAUGGAGUGUCAAAGUGUCAUAUAUAAGUUGCUGCAAUUUUCUACAAAAAUUCUAGUUCUCGUCAUGGCAAGCUUUAAACAACGUUGUGAUGAGUGAUCUUCAUCUAGACGAGGACCCCCAUAUAGGCGACGUCAUGACGUGAAAAAUCUUGUCGUCUCAACGUGGCCAGCAAUGUGUUUGGGCAAGUUUUGUUAAUUUUGCAAUUAAGUCCUGAUUUCUGCGUAAUGCAAUUGUAGGCUUAGAUAUUUUGUAAAAUUUGCAUUUUAAUCUCUAAACUCCGUUUUAAAAUUGAAAGAGUUUUAAUCAUCGUUUUGAACUAAAUGUUUCACAUCUGGUUUGAAAUAAAAUUCCUAAGGCACUUAUUGGGUUAAUUUUAUGAUUUGUAAGUAUUUCACAAUCAUUAUGUAAAAAUGACAUUUUUACCCCUAUAUUUUUUUUUUGUUAUGCUAAAUGAAACAUAUUUUAGGUUUUUGCAUGUUUUUUUAUAUUUUUAAUUAAGCUUGUACUUGCUUGGUGUGACUGGUGGUUUGUGGUGUGCUUUGGUUGUUGGUAAGCAGAGUCACGUAAAUGGCUAAUGUAACAUUCUAGAUUUGGGUCGGACCUUUCCAGUCAAGUUUGGGGCGCCACAACCCCUUCUUCUUUCUCACAGAUGCCAUAAUUUUCCAUGGACAUAUGCUAUCACACAUUGCGCACUUGGCCUUAUAUUUUUCGGCUCAAGAUUUUAUAACAUGGAAGUUUACCCCAUGCUUUAUGUUAUAUUGUUUCACUGUAGCAACAAAAGCAUCUUUGGAGGAAAACUCCAUUCCAACUUGUAAAUCGUCAAAAUUUGUAUAAAAACUCGCAUGACCUGAUCUUCUAUGAGGAAGUUAUGGAAAUUCUAACUCACCUUCAGCAUCAAGGUUGACAUUAAGCAUAUAGGGUGAAGGUGCAAAUGUCGUAAAAUUUGGAUGGGUUCUUUCAACAUUAUUCGAACUUUCACCAUUAGAACCACUCCCUUCUGGUUCAAUAGGACUAACCUUUGGUUCAGAAAAUAAUUCAAUUUUCAAAUCAUCUGGCCCAAACACCCAGAUUGGAUCAUCAUUGGUUUUAGAUCCCUCUUUAUUCUUAGCUCCCUCUUCAGUCUCUUUGUUUUCACCUCCCUCUCCCUCUUUGUUCCCAGCUUUUUCUUCAUUAUCAACCUUAGUUGAAUGUCCAAGGAUGAAUGUCCCUUCACCGGUGUAGGUUGUAGGGAGUACAUCAUCUGUUCUUAUAAACCCUAUGUUAUAAUCAAAACUACUUGCAGAUUGCCAACAAAUAAAACUUAAUGGCAUACUUGUAUAAGUGUUUCCCACAUAGAACAUCGACAUUGGGAAGUUAAAAUUGAAAGCACUCAUAGGAUAUGUGUCGGGGUCUCUAAGUUUAGGUUACUGAUCGUCUAUGGACGUACUAACGUCUAGAGUGUGAAUACUACAACAAAAUAGAGAGUUAUAGGCAGUAUCUACAAGUAUACGGGUCAAGUUUUAAUAUAGAUUUUACAACGAAAUAGGUGAAUACUUCGAGGACUGUACCCAUAGGAAGCGAGUACUAAAUCAAUAUUAAUUUAAACAGUUAAAGAUCUAAUUAAUACUUUAGGUCAGUUAUAGUACGAGAGUAAAAUAAGAAAUAUGUUUAUGGUUUGUAAAAUAAUAAAACGAAAUAACAUAAAAUAAAAAAGAAAUUAAAAAUGCAAGAGAUAAAGAUAAAUAGAGUGAAUCAAAUCUGAGAAUGUGUGAUCAGCUCGCUUCACCAAUCCCAAUUAGUCACUACCCUAGUAGGAUCUUCCAACUAUUCGUUACCCUAGUGGGAUCUUCCAAUAUUAAACCACAAGUAUUUAGGCUUUUGCAUGUUUUCAAUUCUUCCAUCCUUUAGGCUUUUGCAUGUUUUUAUAUUUUUAAUUAAGCUUGUACUUCCAACUAGUCGCUGCCUUUGUGACUGGUGGUUUUUAUGUUCUUAAACAUACUUUAGGUCGUCUCGGGUUCUCGCCAACCAACUAGUUGCUACCCUAGUAGGAUCUUCCAAUCUUCCACAAACAUAAUAAGUCAGCAAGAACUACUUAUCUUUCAACCUCAUAGUCCAGACUGGCUUGGGGUAACGAAUGGGUAAUAUCAAUUUUGGGUUAAUUUCCACCUUGGUGACUUCCCAGGUUGCCAAGCCUAGGGUUUGUUUCACGUUCUUUCUUUUCCAAAUAAUUAAUCUGUUGAGUAACCCUAUAAAACAGUUAAGAGAUCAUUCCUCCACUCGUUAAUCCCCUAUAGAGGGAUUAGUUCCUUAUUACUUUAAUAAAAAACAUGGAAAAAAUGGAAGAAUUGAUUAUGGGGAAUGAAGCUGAAUAGAGAGUUUAAGAAGGCCUGAUUGAAAUUGAAUAAAAUGAAUCCACAGAAGUUGAUCUUGUUUUAUAAUUAGAUCUUUUGAAGAAACAAAUAAAUUGAAUUAUGAAAACCUAAGAGAAACAAGAAAACAAAUCUAAAAACCUAAUAAAAGAAUCUGAACAAAUGGAAUAGUGUCCAUAAUGUGUGCCAAAGAAGCCUAUUUAUAGCCUUCAGAUAGUUAUCAUCCUUAACCCUAGGUUAGUUGAUGUUCCCAAGGUUUAAGUUCGAUUGUGCAGACCAAAACGCCCCUACUUUAUGUUUUAUUCUCGUCACAAAGUUGAUGUCAGACACACUAGGACCUGUGUCAUGACAUAGCAACUAGUAUGCUUCACUGUAACCAUCUUCAGGGGUAUGCCGCGACAUCUUUAGCUUGUGUCACAUUGAAGCUGGUUUCUCACUUUCUAUAUUCUGCUCUCUAUGUUGCGACAUUGGAUCUCCCAUGUGGCGACAUAGCAUCUAGUAUUGGCCCGAAAUGCCUUCUAAUGGUCUUCUACAUACUCACGAAGUACGUUAGCUCUCCCUUAGGCCUCAUUCAGCCCUUAAGGUUAAUAAAAGACUCGAUGUACAUAUUUUAUUGAAUGUAAGUAAAACUAAAGAAACUUAACUAAAACAUAACAAAAAUGUUUGUAUUUAAGCUCAUUAAAUGUGAAAACUAGUUUAAUCUGCUACAUCAAAUUACAGCAGAUCAAACUCUCCUACACUUAAGUCAUUGCUUGUCCGUAAUCAACAUAAAAAAAUGACAAAUAAAAAUGACGACCCUUGAGCAAGUAUGAGACAAGCAUUGAUUUUAGAGCAUAUGACUUAGGCAUUUCAUGCUUAUUAACAAUUUCAACAUGAUGAGUAGUUGACUUACCACUUUGAUUACAAACCAUCUAAGUUCAAUAUGUUACAAAAUAUACAAGUAUUAAGGUUCUCACCUAUAGGAAUCCAUCAACAAAUCAUACAAGUACUUUGAUUAUCCAAGUAGAAUAAAAAUAAUCAUUUACGCAUAUGUCCAGUAUGAUGUUCAUUCAUGUAUGAGGAUACUUAGGUCACAUAGGGUUUUUUGCUUGUAACGUUCUGAGGCUUAGGAUAGGUAUGGAAUACAAAAAUAGUAAACAUCAAAACAUAACAAACAUGAAAAUAGUUUGGCACAUUGUAUUAAUCCCUAUUCUUCCCCCUUAGUGACCUUUACAUGCUCACUGCCUUAUUUCUCCUUAUCUCAUAUUCCUUGUCUUUCCAUGAUUAGGAAUUCAUAACAUGACAUAGUAACUAUGGCUAGCCCUAUGAGUUUUUGUGCCAAAUGAACGAGUUUUUCUUUCUUUUGUGACUUUGUGACUUUUCUAUUUUUCAAUACAUCUUACUCAUGAAUGCUUUUUUGCUAGUUAAAGACUUUUUCUACUCACACUGAUUCCCUUUUUGGGUUUUUCUUUUUGUUUUUCACAUUAAACUAACUUAUAGUUCCUAUAUCACACCAAUCUUUCCUAUUUCACUCUAAUUUUACAAACUUCAUUGUCAUGUAUCUACUUAACCCUCAAUAUAUAUGGCCAGACAUCUAUAAUCGUGCAGUACAUGACCAAAGAAAAAAGGUAUAUACAAAUUAACAUUUUUUGACUUGGGGUUUGUAAUAUGGUUUAUCAAGAAGUGUCAACAAUGCUCAAAAUUGGUACUAAAGGUAAAGUAAAAUAGGAUAGCUUUUUUUACUUUAGAUGUGUUCUAAAAAAUGUCUUAGGUAAUCCCUAAAUAUCUCAUUAUACACAAAUUUAAUCAACCAAACAAACACAAAUUCAACCAUUUAUCAUUCAUACUAUCAUGCUCGUUUUCUUGUAUUUUCUAUAUCACUUGGUACAAAUGAUAGCUUAAUACCUAUUUACCGUGUAACAUAUAGAACUUUAGUAGUCUAAUAAUAAAAAUUUUAAAAUCUUCUAUCGUCAUGUCAACUUAUUCAUAAACAUAAGCAACCUAUGUACAUGCUCCUAACCAAUCACUUGUAUUUCUACAAGCUCACCAAAAGACAAUGAAAAAUGAACAAAAAUUAAGAAUUUAAAAACAGCCUAUAUUACCCCCACACUUUAGCUGACACAUUAUCCUCAAUGUGUAGCCUAUCAAAAGAUAAGGAAUGAAGUUACAUGAUUAAUCGUGGUUGCUCUAACUCCUAUUGGUAGGUGUUUUCUCCUUUGAUUGUGUAAAGCUCGAAUUAUUUGUGUUUUUUUCGUGUUGGGUUCCUACAUAGAAAAGUUAAACAAAAUGCAACAAAACUAAAAAUCUACUUAUUAAUCCUACUACUACAAAGUUCAAAUCAUCCAAAAAUUAAUAUAAGUCUUUGUAAAAUUAAAAUAAUUCAAUCCUCUUCCUCAUCCAUCUCCUCGUUUUCAUCAUUCUCAUCAUCUUCUCCUUCUUAUUCGCUUUCAUAUGCUUCUUUUCCUUGUUCCAUACUCAUCAGUCGAAACAUGUUAGGUGUAUAAUUAGGGACUCGGAUGUUGUUUUGCCUUGUGAAUUCUUGGAAAAUUGGUCCUGAUUCCUGCAUCCACUGAAUCAUCAAAUCUAGUUUUGGAUGACUACUCUUACCAACGUCUUGUUGUGCUCAUGCCAACCUUUGUGACGACGUAGGUAUAGUUGUCAUUUCUUAAUGUCGCUUGUUCUCGUCUUUCAUUUGUUUGACCCUCAGCUUGAUGUAUUGUUGGAACAAGGUAUCGUCGAUAAUACGUCGAGAUGGUUUCAAUGAUUGCUCAAUGGGUGUCAUAGGUACACCCACCUUUUUUCAUAAAGCCAUCACGAGAUAGGGAAAGAAUACUCCCACCUUCUGGCUACUAAUACAUCUUCCCAUGUUAUGGUGAAUCCAUUUGCCAACACAUACCUAUUUUUUCUUUAGAAUAGCGUAGAGUAAAACUACUCUAAAGGCAUUAACAUUAGAAAUAUUUAAAGUAGGUAAAAUUCAUGUGCAAACAAAUUGAAUCCACAUUUUAGCCUCAGGAAACAUAAUAGCUUGAUGAAAAUAUACUAGGAUAUCGGUACCUACGCGAUGCUUCCAUUCAUCCCUUCCUUCAGUUAAAAAUUUUAUAAUAACAUCCAUAUCUAUGUCUCUAAAAUAUUCUAAGUCAGUUUCAUCAACGAAAUCAUUCUCAUAAUAUGGAGCAUUAUAGAAAUUGCAAAUUAUUCGAAAGGUUACUCGUACCUUUUUCCCUCGCACAAGUAUUGUAUCCCAUAUAUAACCUUCAGUAUUUCUAGACUAGUGGUCUCGUAAAGAUGUGUAGAAUUCUUGUACAAUAAGGACCACAAUAUUAUACAUUGGGAUCAUCCAAAAAAAUUCCCAUCGAUGAUACCUUACCAAAGGCCAUAUUUCUUUACACAAUACCAUCGAUGGAUCAAAUCCCCUUUCCUGAAUGAAUGUUUUUCAUUAAAGUUCAUUGAAAUACUUUUCAACAUUCGGAUUUGGAAAAUUAGAGGGAGUUUGAACCAUCGAUGGCUCCAUUUCUAUGGUUCGCCUAACUUUCCUAAGAGGCAUUGUAUUUCAAUUUAAAUAAUGAAUUCAACGAAAUAGUAAAAAAAAAUUAGUUUAGGAACCCAUAACCUUGAAUGUAUAGUUAAGGUUUGUUCAAAUUCCUUGCUUGCUGGUGAUGUCCCCGUUCCUUGUUGCACCAAGUUUGUGCAAGGGAAUUUGAUAAAUCGAGGUUUAGAGUUUAAGGGAUAUUAAUAGAUUUGAAAGAGUUUGUGGAAAUAAAGGUUAAGGGGUGUCUUAAUUAGUAGUAGAUAUUGUUUUGGGUUAUAAAAUAGGGUUUUAAGGGUUAAAAAUCGGGUAAAGUUAGUGUUUAAAUCGUCGGGUUGAGCACCGUAUCAGGUCAAUCUUGCAAAAAAUUAUAGUGAUGUCGCGACAUGGAACCAUCAGCUUAGAGAUUCUCAAGGACUGUCUGUUAUGUCACGACUCUCUGAUGCAAUGUCGCGACAAUGACUCUAGUUCAGUCCAAAAUUCCACCUCAAGGAUGUUUUGGUCUAACACUUGAACAUACAUCAAAUAAAAGUUAGAAUUUAAAUUAUGGGGUUAGUUAAAUAUACAAUAAUUUACAAAAAAUCAUGUAGCAAUUUACAUAUUUUAAGUUAUACUGCUAGAUUUAUCUAGCAAUAUUGUCGAUUCACCCACAAACAAUUUCUUUAUUCUAUCAGUAUUAGUCCACUGACCGUCGUACCACUCAACCUUUGCCCACUUGUCCUAUUGUUUGAACUUAUUUAUUCUUUCUUCAUUCAUAAAAGGAAUCAUUCCCCUUGACUUGGGCACGUUAGACAUAAAUAAUUUUUUGCAAUGCUCCCCUAAUAUCCUCUGCUCUUCCUCAUUCAAUUGAUAACCACAUUUGAAUAUUUCAGCCUCACCAUUAAUUUUCAUAGUUAUAUCAUUUUAUUUCUAAAUCAAUGGUGGGUCUAGAAGUGGCCAAAAAAGGUCUUCCUAGUAAGAUCAGUAUCUCCCGACCUUCCUCAAAAUUAGGUACUACAAAAUCUGUUGGAAUUAUGAAACUUCGCUCCUUGACUAGCAUAUCUUUUGGUACUCCAUUCGGAUGUACCAAAGACUUGUCAGCUAAUUGUAAUGUUAAUUGAGUUAUUUUAAUAUUCCCUAACCUGAGUUUUUCAAAAAAUGUAACACCCCUAACCCGAAUCCGUCACCGGAAUAGAGUUACGGAGCAUUACCGGAGUUACCGAUUCAUUUAUCAGAUAUUUUAUUAAUUCGAUAUCUUUUCUUUUCCACGUUCAAGUCUCGUAUUCAAGUCAUCCGGAUCUUUAUAAAGAAAUUUGAUCGUCGUUUUCAUUUAUUUCAUGUCAUAAUACAUCCAACUAAUGCUCUAAACAAAAUUAUCAUUUUACCCCUAAACUUUUAAUUAAUGACGAUUUCAUCCUUAGGUUAAAAUAAAAUAAAAUUAUUGCAAUUUAAUCCUUAUUUCCAGUCGUUAUUCUCACACAAAUUGAUAACAACCUAUGAAUUCUAUAAAAUGUCAGAAUUUUCCAUAAUUUCAACACUUUUCAAUUUAAUCCUUAAAACAUGUUUUUCCCCGAUCUUGAGCUAAAUUAACAAUUUCAUUCAAUUUUGAAAUUAAAAUAAUAAAAUAAUCCAUUUCAUGCAAAUUGGUCAUUUCUAACAUUUUUUUACAAAAUUGCCCAUAAAAUUUUACUUUUAUUCAAUUUAGUCCAUGAGCCUAAAACAUACAAAUUAGCCAUGCUAGCUGAAUAUUCAUACAUAUUUUCCUCCUCUUCCUCUCCAUUUCACAUCCUUAAUUUAUAUAACAUGCAACAAGUAACAUUAUCAAUAAUUUCACUAUUUACUUAUGUAUAUUCAAAACUAUCCAUUUGCAUCAUAGUCACUAAAUUAUUUAUAUCUUAAGCUACAGAACUCGAAAUUAAGAUCUACUAUUUUUUCUUGAAAAUAGACUUACUUAUCUUCUUACCAUAAAAUUUUCAGAAUUUUUGGUUUAGCCAAUAAGUACAGUUUAUUCUUUAAAGUUGCCCAUGUUCUUCUGUCUGACAGUUCCGACCCUUCUUCACUAAGAAUUAAUUAUCUCAUCGUACGGGAUUCGGAUGAUGUUCCCGCUUAUUUCUAUUGAAAAUAGACUCUUUAAGGAUUUUAAACAUAUAAAUUUAAUCCCUUAAUUAUUUUUCUCCAAUUUUUGAUGAUUUUCCAAAGUUAGAACAGGGGAACCCAAAAUCAUUCUGACAUGGUCUCACAAAACUUAUUAUAUCUCAUGAUUUACAAUUCUAUUGCUUACACCAUUUCUUCUAUAAGAAACUAGACUCAAUAAGCUUUAAUUUCAUAUUUUAUUCAUCCUCUAAUUAGAUUUCUACAAUUUUUGGAGAUUUUUCAAAUUUAGAUUAUUGCUGCUGUCCAAAAUUGUUUUAGUGCAAAAUGUUGAUUUUCAUUUUGCCCCAAAUUUCACAGUUUAUACAAUUCAGUCCUUACUUAAUUAACCCCUCAAUUAAACUAAUUUUCUCAACUAAUACUUUUCCUAGAUAUUAUAAGUUAUUUCAUAACUAUUGAAAUUCAGAAUUUCCACAUAAAACUCUAACUUCAAACUCUUUUACAAUUUAGGUCCCAAACAUUCACUUUCUAUUCAAUUCUUUCAAUAAAAUCAGCAUAUAAACAAUUUAAAGCUCUAAUUCUAUGUAAAAUCAUCAUAUACUUCCAGCACAUAUUCAUAGAAACUUUCAAUUUCUUUCAUAGAAUCAAGAACUAAUGAAUUCAACAAAUGGACCUAGUUGUAAAAGUCACAAAAACACAAAAAUUUCAAGAAAUAAUCAAGAUUUGAACUUACUUGCAGUAAAAAUAUGAAAAACCAGCUUAAGGGAACUCUUCCAUGGUAUUUUUGCUGAUGAUAAUGUAGAAAAAUAAAGAGAAAUCUAGAUAAUUCCACUUUAGUCCUAGCUUUAUUAAGUAAAUUUUGCAAUUUUCCAAUUUUACCCUUAAUUCCCCUUAUUUUCUUGGUGAUUUCAUGCUCUUGCCGUCCAGCCUAAAUAGACCUUGGGUCUAUUUUCCUUUUAAACCCUCUUUCUUUUAUCAUUUAAGCUAUUUAAUCAUUUCCCAUAAUUUUGCAUUUGAUACAAUUUAGUCCUUUUUGUUCAAUUAGCUAUCAGUACUUUAAAAUUUCUUGACGAAACUUUAAUACUAACUUAUUAACACUCCAUAAAUAUUUAUAAAAAUAUUUAUGGCUCGAUUUAAAAUUCCCGAGGUCUCGAUACCUCAUUUUCAAUUUUAAUUAUUUUAAUAUAUAUAUUUUAGCACAUUUCACUAUUUCUAAAUUUUUCCUAACUUCACAUUUAACUUAUACUCACUAAAUUAAUAAUAUUUCCUACUCAUUUGUCGGAUUUAGUGAUCUCGAAUCAUUGUUCCGACACCACUGAAAAUUAGGUUGUUACAAAAAAUGAUAAGGGCAUUAAAUUGAUAUUGGCUUCUAAAUCGCAUAGAGCUCUAUUAAAAUAAAUGUUCCCUAUUUCUAUGGGAAUAGUGAAACUUUCGGAGUCUUUCAACUUUCGAGGUACUUGUCUUAAAAUAAUCACACUACAGGAAGCACUGAAAUUACCUUAUUCUCCCACCUUGAUUUUCUUACUUUAAAAUUUUGGCAUAUUUGGGAACCUUAUCAAUUAGCUCGAUUAAAGGUAGGUUAACAUUUAAAGUUUUAAAUAGAUUAAAAAAACUUAUGAAUUCAUCCUCAUCCCUCUUCUGUCUUUUUUCUAAUCUUGUUGGAAAUGGGACUUUCGUGAUUUCAACAUCUUUAGAUGUCUCUCUUCCUGUUUCAAUUGUUGGUGCCUUCUCUUCUUCUGAUUGAGGUCCGUCUUCUACUUCCAUGGAAUUGUCUUGAGGUUCAUUAGUAUUAUGCACAAUAACCUUCGGGGUAGGUAUUUCUAGGCUACUCAGUACCUUUCCUAAUCGAAGUGCUAUAGCUUUCAUAUGUUGUUUUCCUUCUCUCCGUGGAUUAUUUUCCAUGUUACUAGGAAUACCUAAGCCAAUUUGUCUUUUCAUAUCACCCAUCAUACUCAUCAAUUGGCUCAUUUGAUCCUCAAUCUUAGUCAAUGUUCUUAUUGAGUUAAUGCACUCAGACCAUACCUACUUGAUGUUUGAUCUCCUUAACUACAUUUCCCCCUCAAUUCUAUCCAGACAUUAACCAAAUGCAGUAUGGUCAUUUGGGUUGGUUUUGUCCUGGGGUUUCUGCAAAUAAGGAGGUUAGUAAUUUAUAUUUUUAACUUGAUUUAAAUUGUUACCUCCUCAUUGGUUUCUCCCCAUCUCAAGUUCGAGUGAUCCCUCCAGCUAGGAUUAUAUGUAUUCGAAUAAGGGUUUCCAUCUCUAUUCCUAAUGUAAUUCACAUCCUUGGCAGGAUUGUUGAUA
RNAcentral lists this long non-coding RNA (50686 nucleotides) under Gossypium barbadense (sea-island cotton). Its description in RNAcentral is "long non-coding RNA (GBAR_LNC007563)". Lineage: Eukaryota; Viridiplantae; Streptophyta; Magnoliopsida; Malvales; Malvaceae. The record is from RNAcentral.